GGGUGUGCACGUGAGUGGUGUGCACUUGUAUGAUAGCAGCGAUUUUGUGUGAUGGUCGUGUAAAUUAUUAUGGGUUGAUUGCUCGUGGAUGUAAGGUGCAUGUACAGGUUUAGAUGAGUGCUUUAGAGCCUCAUGUGUGUGUGCGUGCGUGCGUGACGCUUGGCAUUGCAGGUUUAUAAUCUCGGGUUGUAAAAAAAAAAACUAUUUCGUUUAUCUUGGUUCUGCCGGCUAUUCUCCUGAAGAAAAUGUUUUCUGCUCCGUAUUUCGGUAUGAAUUCUAAUGGACAUAAGAUGGUAUUUCAUAUUCAGUACAUGUAUAAUAGUCGAAGCAUUUCAAUGCAAGUGAGGGUGUACAUCUAAUAAUAGUUUCUUUUUUGUGCGUUGGUGUUUCCUGUGUACAUCCUAACUAUAUAAAGGUUAGAUUUGUGCUCGUGCUUAUUGUGUUUGUAUCCACUUGAUGCUUCAUUUUUAAGUCAAUAAAAUUCAUCUUUCUAUUAAAAAAAAAAUCAAAACUCACUCAAAGUGAUGCUCUGGGUUGGCCCACUUUCCAAUAUCUGCAUAUGGUUCUUUCUAUAUAAUGUGUCCUCGUGGCGAUUGAUGGGCUCCUAUGCGGCGCUUUAGGUGCCGAAAAGGAUAGCUGAUGCUCGUUAUAGCUUUGCUCACAGGCCGCAGCUGAAUAAGACCACCUCCCUCUCGCGCUUGCUUGCUUUUGUCAAGUUUGCUGGUUUUUCUUUCAUUAUUACCUACAGUAUGACCUCCCCCCUAAAAGAAACUUACGGUAUUAUCUAGUGUACUACUUCCUCUGUCCCAAUUGCGACAAGUAAGUCGGGAUGGAGGCAGUACUUGCCUCAAAAAGAAAAGACAAAACUACAGUCCUACAUGGCCAGCUGUUUUUAUCUACUAUACCACAUGCCAGCAGUUUCCAAAAUCUAUGAUUUUUUUAAAAUUUUAUGAAUAAAAAUUCACGAAUUCGAGAAAAAGUUUGUGGUUUAAAAAACAUUAAAAAAAUUAUGACUUUGAAAAAUCAUGAAAUUUGGAAUAUAUAAUCAUGAAUUUCAAAAAAUUCAUGAUAUUUAGAAAAGUUCGUAAAUACUGGAAAAAUUCAAAGAUUUUGAAACAACAUAAGCUGAUUCAAAAAAAUUCUCAAAUUUAAUAAAGUGCUAGAUUUGAAAAUAGUUCAUGAAUUUGGAAAAAGAAGUUCAUGAAUUUGAAAAAAACUGUGAAUUCAAAAAAACAUGAAUCUGAAAAAAGUUCACCAAUUUUUAAAAAGUGUGUGGGUUCAAAAAAGGACGAUAUUUGUAAAAAAAAGAUCACGAAUUUUACAAAAGUUCAAAAAAAUUUGGAAAAGUUCAUGAAAGAUGGAAAUUUUUCUUAUUUUCUAGAUAAAAUCACAAAUUUGAAAAAACUUCAUGGGUUUUGAAUUUUUUAUAAAAACCGAAAUGAAUUUUUGAAUUUGAAAAACAUUCAUGCAUUUGAAAAAAGUUUAGGAAUUUGAAAAAAGUUCACGAAUUGAAGAAAUAGUUUACGAUUUUAAAAAAGAGUUCACAAAUUUUGAAAAAGGAAAAGAAAGAGAAAAAGAAAAGGGAAAAAACUAACAAAAACUGGCCGAAACAAAACCGAAAAAACAUGUGUCUUCUAGGCGCACAACAUGAAACAAAAUAAGUAUUAGUAUGCACAGUAGGUGAGUUGUCCAUGUUGGUUACUGUGUUUGGAAGGAAACAUUGAGGUUCCUACUUUGAAUCUCACUACCUACAACAUUUUUGAAGGUUCAAUAAAAUGGGCCAAGCCCAGGACGCAAGGGGGCGUGCGCUGGUUUGUUGACUUGCCUUUUGGCGUCGGGGUCUCAUUUACCCAAGAAAGAAACAAAGAAAAAAGAUGAAGAAAAAAACAAUGGGAAAAAUAAAAUAAAAGGAAGCCCGUGAAAACCGAGAAAAGAAAGAGAGAAAACCUGAAGAAAUUGUAGAGAAAGAAAGAAAGAAAAACAGUUAAACCCGAAAAAAGAAGAUAGAAAGCGGUGAAAAAGUAAAGAAAACAAAAAAAAAUACAACCGUAGAAAACCUAACCAAAAACUAGUACAACGGUCGUCCCAAGUGAGCGAGGAAAUGAAAUGAGCAAACCACUAAAUGGGCCGGCCCAGAAACAAAGCGCGAGGGAGUUUCUUCAAGCGAGCAGAGUAUAUAUCUCGCUAUAAGCGAGAUAUAGCUCUUGCAGCGAUUAAUGCCCUUUUUCCUUUGCUACUGUGACCCUAGUGAAUUAUUAUUUUUGUUUAGAAAUCAUCCAUGCAAUGUCCCAAAUAUUGAUCCAUAUGUUUACAUUUAAUUCUAUUGUUGCUCUCUUCAAAGUUACUUGUACUUGGCAGUUGUUGGGUAUUUUGUUACUAUGAUACUGCUUUGCCACAUACACCACUUCAUUCACGGUAUUGUCAUUGCUAGUAAUAAUUCUUUCAAACAAGCAUUUGUUUCAUAUGUGUUUGAAUUGACAACAUAACUGCUAAAUGCUAAAAAAUUAAAUGCUCUUUGGCUCUUUUGUGUCGAAUCAAUACAUUUGUGUUGUGAUCCCUACGUUUGUGGAUCAUCAUCUAUACAUUAUUGCAUCAAUAACAAGUGAACCACUCAUGUUUUGUUGGAAUCCUAAAAUGCAUAGUUUUGUAUUUAUUGACAAAAUGAUUGUGAAACUACUUAAAAUGGGCUAUUUCUUUAUAUUUUUACCAACCACAGUUUUAUAAGAAAUACUCGCACUUAUAGGAUGGUGAGCAUUUCCAAAAUCUGAAGUUUCCCUAGCAUCUUGAGCAAUAGGUAACAAGGCAAAAUGUGUUGUAACCCAUCCAAUGUAAACUGAAUUGGAUGACACACUUCUGGGACCAAAAUUCCUUUAUGUGUGCCACAUCGAAACAUCACAAGUCAAAUCAAUAUAGUGCAUUACUCCAAGUCAAAAUAAAAAUAGUGCACUACUCACUAGGUUCUCCGAUUAAAGCUCCAUGCUACAUCAAGGAAGCGAAAAGUGUGGAACCUAAUUACUUAAAGUGUGGAGGUCAAACAAGAUGCCUAAAUUGCUUGUCCCCUCUUAGUUCCUUUUUUGCGCGAAAUCUUUCGAUCUAUUCAUCAACUGACAAGGUAGUAUAAAGAACACCAGAAGUAAAAAAUACAUCCAUGUCCGUAGACCACCUAGCGACGACUACAAUCAUUGGAGUGAGCCGAAGGCGCGCCACCAUCUUCACCCCUCCCUAAAUGGAACCGGGCAAGCUUUGUUGUAGUAGAUAGUCGGGAAGUCAUCGUGCUAAGGCCUCAUAGGGCCAACACACCAGAAUAGCAACCACCGCCUAUGAAGAGAAGCGUAGAUCAAAAGGAUCUAACUUGUAGACACAUGGACAUAGAUGAACGGAGACAUGAUCCAGCUGGAUCCAUCGGAGAUAAACGCCAACUGAAUCCCACGAGAUCCGCCAGAAAUAAACCUCCACAAGCCCUCCAGCGAUGCUAGAAACACCACCAGGACGGGGACUAGGCGGGGAGAACCUUAUUCCAUCUUCAGAGAGUCGUCACCGCCUUGCCACUUGUUCACACACGAACACGUCACAUUGUACCCUCGACGCCAGGGGUGAUGCAUCGCAGCUCACGUCGAAGGAGACCCGACCGACAGCGCGAUACGCAGGACAGUCGACGGGUGCUUUUGUAGGCCCGAAGCCCCGCUUGCCCGGGAGGGACCCCGUCAGGGCUCGCGGCGGCUAUGGGCUGCUCCAGGUCGAGUCGCUCGCCCCUAGAGCCUCGUGGAUCCGCAGCCCUCCAACAUGAAGAACUAGCGAAGAACGAGAAGAAAGAUACAAGGAGAGAUAAAAAGUAGAUGAACACGAAAAAGUAAUAGAUUGAUUUGUUCGAUUGGUGUUGUUUCAAUUGGCCGUUACCCCUAACAUAUAUAAGAGGCGGUUGGACUUCCCGUACAAGCAAAUGAUUCAUCUAAGCUUUCCUUACAAGAAAAUUAUAUCAAUUCAUGUCCUACAUCUCUAUUUCCAGUCCAACUCGGAUUCAGCCCGAAUCUGUCCCAUACUUCUGUCUUGCUUCUUGCGCGGGCCAUAGAAAUCGCAUACUAACUCGGAUGGAGUUGAGUUCAGCAUCAAACUUGUCUGCCUCGAUGAUUUGCAUAAGACCGCACGGGCCACUUCUCCUUUUAAGGCUAUCUUUAUGACUUUCAGGGCCUAUCUUUAAAUGUGGGUUGGAUUCAAUUAUGCAGUUUUCUGAACUGUCCGAGUCUUGUAACAACUCUGUAGGCCGUGUACUAUCUCCGAUGAUGAUGACUCCAAAAGAAAAGUUGACCGUUUCAACGAUGUGAACAACUUCUGUGUAGAACACUUUUCCAUACAAGGUCGUCUGAAUAACCUUUUGAGCCCAUCUCCAACUUCUGGUCGGAUUGACUUUGACAGUCUCCACCCCGGCAAGCUUUCCACCCCGGCAAGCUUUCCACACCGGUAAGGUUUCUACCCCGGCAAGCUUCACACCGGCAAGCUUCCACACCGACAAGAUUUCAUGCCGGCAAGGUCUUCAUCCCGGCAAGCCUCAUUCAGCCGGCAAAGGAUGAAUAACUCACGCGACCCAUCAGACACCACCUAGGUGGGUGUCUGGUCCCUCACGUCACUCAGGACCGGUCCGCGAAGUGUUGCCUCUAACUUUUGCAUACGAACUCAGAUUGGGACACUUUUUAUAUCAAAAUCAAUCAGUUCGACGAGACAAAGACAAUUCAUGUAGAUCAUGUUUUCAUAUGAGGUCAUCUUGGGGGCUUAAUCGGCCAAACUGUACUCUAUAUAUAAGAUCUUGGUACUUUGAGCAUAGUUUCGGCCUUUAGGAUGAAAUCGGACGGCGACGGGCCAAACUUCAAAGAUGCACUUCUCCAUUUGAGGCCAUCUUAUUGACUGUGCCAAAAUUGGGUGUCAACACCACUAUGAGUAGGACACAAUCCCUAACAAAAAUAAAAAACAUGAAAAACUUAAGCCCUCCCACCGGCAAGGGCCAGGAUCCACUGCGCCUCCAUGACCCUAAGACCACAGGAGACGAGAUAGCCGACGGCAGCACCAGUGAAAGGAUCGAUAUAGUUGACUAGAGGGGGGUGAAUAAGCAACUAACAAUUUUUAGCUUUUCUUUACCAAUUUAAACUUUGCAUCAAAGUGGGUUGUCUAGAUAUGCAACUAGGUGAGCAACCUAUAUGAUGUAACAACAACAAGCACACAAGCAAGCAAGGGAUGCAACACAAUAUAAGCUUGCACAAGUAAAGGUACGAGAUAACCAAGAGUGGAGCCGGUGAAGACGAGGAUGUGUUACUGAAGUUCCUUCCCUUUGAGAGGAAGUACGUCUCCGUUGGAGCGGUGUGGAGGCACAAUGCUCCCCAAGAAGCCACUAGGGCCACCUUAUUCUCCUCACGCCCUCACACAAUGCGAGAUGUCGUGAUUCCACUAUUGGUGCCCUUGGAGGCGGCGACCGGACCUUUACAAACAAGGUUGGGGCAAUCUCCACAACUUAAUUGGAGGCUCCCAACGACACCACCGAAGCUUCACCACAAUGGAAAUUGGCUCCACGGUGACAUCAACCUUCUAGGGUGCUCAAACACCCAAGAGUAAUAAGACCCGCAAGGGAUUAGUGGGGGAAUCAAAUUUCUCUUGGUGGAAAUGUAGAUCGGGGCCUUCUCAACCAAUCCCUAGAAAAUCAACAAGGUUGAUUGGCUAGGGAGAGAGAUUAGGUGAAAAUGGACCUUAGAGCAACAAUGGAGCUUAGGGAUGGAAGAGGUAGUCAACUCGGAGAAGAAGACUCCCCUUAUAUAGUAAUAGGACAAAUCCAACCAUUAUCCACUUACCCAGCUUGCGACGUGCGAUACUACCACACCAGCCAUGCGGUACUACCGCAAGGGCCUGCGGUACUACCGCGGGGCACUGCGGUACUGCCGCAGGCGCGGCAGGAGCCAGACCGGCCCUGAUGCGUUGAAGCAAAGAGCGGUAUAACCGCCGGAGCGGUACUACCGCUCCCCCUUGCGGUACUACCACAAGCCAGGGUUUGUCUAGGCUGGGAAGGCAUGGACAUAUAAAAAUACAUCCAUGGCUACUUCCCUUGAGUUUCGAUUUGUGUAAAAACCCGACACAGUACUGUUGUGAACAUGGAGCGGUACUACCGCGUAGGGCGCGGAUGUAAAAAGUUACAUCCGCCCCUACUUCUGCUCGUGCUGUUGUGCCUAGCUCGAGGCCACGGUACUACUGCGCCCUGGGAGCGGUACUACCGCAAUGGACUGUAGUACUACCGCGACCGUGGCCGGUACUAUCGUAAGCCUCUGCGGUAUUACCGCUCCCAUGAGCAGUACUACCGCAUGCCCAACACAACCAACACUAGGAGUCCUUCAGUUUGCAGAGACACGGAUAAUUGGAGGAUGCUCCAAAGAGCCAACGGAAAGGUGGUGCAAAAGGAACAGACGUGUAGAUGAUGAUUCCAUCCAAACCUUUCCAAAGCGGAUCCCCUCUUAAUAGUACGACUUUCCUAGGACUCAAAUCCACUGAAAAGAAACACAGGGAAAACUCCGUCUUCACUAGACUCCGAGAGGCAACGAAUUGUCUUGUGCGUGAACAUGAGAUAUCUGAAAUGCUCAAUGCACACGAUUAGUCCACAAAAGCAUUGCCAUCAAUCGCCAAAACCACUAAGGGAUAAAUAUGCCCUUACAAUCUCCCCCUUUUUGGUGGAUUGAUGACAAUACGGGAUUUGCACAAAGGGAAAUAAAAUGAAGCAUAGGCAAACCCAACAUCUAUAAAAUAUAGACGGGCUCCCCCUAGAUGUGUGCUCUCUAGAGAAGUGCUUUGGACUGCACGACACACAUACUAGGAUCAACACUCCCCCUAUAUUUUAUAGACGAGGCAUAUAUUGAAACAAAAUAACUAACACUAAGCAAGGAUGCAAGAUAAUAAAUAUGAGCAUAAAGUAACGAGAGAACAAUCUACUAAGCAAACUAGAUAACAUGAUAAGACAAUGAGAUACGCUGAGGACAUAUGUCUUACACCAUAUGAUAGGCUCCUGGAUCCAGACGAAAACAAACACAAACCAACAAACGUGUUUCAACAGGACGAAAGCAAAGAGCGAGACACAACAACACAAAACUCGCAAAUCCUACACUCUCUCCCCCUUUGGCAUCGAGACACCAAAAAGGCAGAGAUGACACCUACGACACAGGUGGUAGCUCAAGCUGAAGCGAUCACUCGUCACGCUCCUCGUCGGUCUCGGCAGGAGGGAUGGUCUCCUCCUCAGAUUCAGUCUACUGGUAGCCCUGCUUCGCCAUCCAUUCAGCCUCUGGGGUGAUGUGCUUCUCGGACCCGCUUGAUACCUGCUCACCGAACGUCCUCAAGAUCCUCUUGUCGCGCCGGCGACUCUCCUUCUGAGCAACAUGAGACUGGUACUGGCCCUUGGCCUGUGAUAACCCACAAGUAUAGGGGAUCACAACAGUUUUUGAGGGUAGAGUAUUCAACCCAAAUUUAUUGAUUCGACACAAGGGGAGCCAAAGAAUAUUCUCAAGUAUUAACAGUUGAGUUGUCAAUUCAACCGCACCUGAAAGACUUAAUAUCUGCAGCAAAGUAUUUAGUAGCAAAGUAAUAUGAUAGUAGCGGUAACGGUAGCAAAAGUAACAGUAUUGGUUGUGUAGUGAUUGUAACAGUAGCAACGAAAAAGUAAAAAAGAAAAAACAAUAUGUGAAAAGCUUGUAGGCAAUGGAUCAGUGAUGGAUAAUUAUGUCGGAUGCGAUUCCUCAUGCAACAGUUAUAACAUAGGGUGACACAGAACUAGCUCCAGUUCAUCAAUGUAAUGUAGGCAUGUAUUCCGAAUAUAGUCAUACGUGCUUAUGGAAAAGAACUUGCAUGACAUCUUUUUUCCUACCCUCCUGUGGCAGCGGGGUCCUAUUGGAAACUAAGGGAUAUUAAGGCCUCCUUUUAAUAGAGUACCAGACCAAAGCAUUAACACUUAGUGAAUACAUGAACUCCUCAAACUACGGUCAUCACCGGUAAGUAUCCCGAUUAUUGUCACUUCGGGGUUAACGGAUCAUAACACAUAAUAGGUGACUAUAGACUGGCAAGAUAGGAUCAAGAACUCACAUAUAUUCAUGAAAACAUAAUAGGUUUAGAUCUAAAAUCAUGGCACUCGGGCCCUAGUGACAAGCAUUAAGCAUAGCAAAGUCAUAGCAACAUCAAUAUCAGAACAUAAUGGAUACUAGGAAUCAAACCCUAACAAAACUAACUCGAUUACAUGAUAAAUCUCACCCAACCCAUCACCGUCCAGCAAGCCUACGAUGGAAUUACUCACGCACGACGGUGAGCAUCAUGAAAUUGGUGAUGGGGGAAGGUUUAUGAUGAUGAUGGCGACAGAUUCCCCUCUCCGGAGCCCCGAACGGACUCCAGAUCAGCCCUCCCAAGAGAGAUUAGGGCUUCGCGGUAGCUCUAUAUCGUAAAACGUGAUGAAUCGUUCUCUCUGAUUUUUUUCUCCCCAAAGGUGAAUAUAUAGAGUUGGAGUUGAGGUCGGUGGAGCACCAGGGGGCCCACGAGGCAGGGGGCGCGCCCCCACCCUUGUGGACAGGGUGUGGGCCCCCUAGCCUUGAUUCUUUCGCCAGUAUUUUUUAUAUAUUCCAAAAAUAUUCUCCGUUGAUUUUCAGGUCACUCCGAGGACUUCUAUUUCUGCACAAAAAUAACACCAUGGCAAUUCUGCUGAAAACAGCGUCAGUCUAGGUUAAUUCCAUUCAAAUCAUGCAAGUUAGAGUCCAAAACAAGGGCAAAAGUGUUUGGAAAAGUAGAUACAUUGGAGACGUAUCAGCCUGCAUGCAGAACAGAGCCUUCAUCUUGUUCUUCAGCCUCUUAGCCUAAGAGGGCUCAGAAGAUGAAGGCGAGUAUCCAUCAGAGAUGUCCUCAUCUGCUUCCUCCUCCUCAAUCUCAUCCUCAUCCACAUCCAUCUUAGCAGCCUCCGCCUCAGCACGGGUAGUGGUGUUAGCCCACUUGUUCUUGAUGUGCAGCUUGAUAGGCUCGUGGCGGGUCCAGUUUGGAGCAGAAAAGUCUUCCUCCGGAAACAUCUUGUCCCAAGUCUUCGAGAUUAGAAGGUGCAGGUAUGGACCAUAGAUGGGAACUUUGUGAUUGUAGACCGCAAACCUGAGCUCACUCCACAUGAUAUGAGAGAUGUCCAGAGGCUGGGUGGCAUGACGACGCGCCUCCUCGCACAGAAGCAACAUAUCCAUGAGAUAAGCAUGCACCUUAUCUUUGUCACCGAUGCGAGGAAAGAGAGUGUUGUAGAAGAUUCGGUGCAUGACAUCUAGGAAGGGGUUGAGCACCCAAGUCUGAGUGCCAUUGGGAAGCUUGUUCUCCACAAGAAACGGUAGAAGCUUGUCCUUGUUGGCAGACUCGGCGUUGCCGUGAGGGCGGGCGCCAAUGGGCACAUCGGGCCCAUCAUCAAGGACAUGCAGGAGCGUCAUGAAUUCCUUCCAGGUAGCAGACAGCUUCUUCCCAUUGGUCAUCGAAGUCAUAGUCCACUCCCCAUCCAUGUGAAAGUGGACGGAGGCAAAGAACUGCGCCACUAGCUCCGGGUCAAAGUCCAUAUGGAACGCGAUGAAGUCUUCAAUGCCAAACUGCUCGACCAAGUCUAGUGUCUCACCAAAGUAGUUCCGGUCCUUCCUCAGAUGAUUCAUAUCAAUCCACUGCAUUGGAACAUAAAGGUUGUGCUUGGUCUUGAUCACAUCAAUGUAUAUGAGAUUCCGUGCUUGGUCCAGAAAAACUCACACCCUCUGACAUUCUCAUGAGGAUUCACAUAGGGAUCGAUCCUCCUUCGAAUGAUGAACUCUGAUUGAGGCAGCUCGUCCAUGCCCUGAACUGGCUCCUUGUUCCGGUUGGCAGUCUUCUUGACAUUGCGUUGUGGGGCAUUGGAGCCCUCCGGAGCUUCUUGAUUGCGAAGACGCUUGGAGCUUGUGUCGUGGCUUGGGUUCGAGCGACGGACAUUGGAGGCACCACCUAUGACACACAACACCAGAACACACGAGAGAAAUGAGAAGGAUCAAUGCAAAGACCACGGCAAAAACAAAUGAAACACGUAGAAAAAAGAUUGGGUAGUUGCCACAAGGAAGGUUCGAAGUCAGCGGUAGUAUCGCACCUCUAAGUGGAACUAAAAUUUUACUGCCGCUCUAGCCGCGGUAGUACCGCGCCGGGAUGGCACGGUAGUACCGCGCCUAGGGCGGAAGUAAAAUUUUACUUCCGCGCUGCUCCCGGUAGUACCUCCCCAGAGGAGCGGUAGUACCGUACGAUGUAGAAGCGGCCUGAGCGGUAGUACCAUACAGGAGGUGCGGUAGUACCGCUCGGGAUCAGAUCCGUGAAGAACAGAUCUAGGCACAUCCGCAACAUUUGAGUGGUACUACGGUUGAUCAAAAAUACCAUGUGGCAACAUACCAAAUAGCAUUUCUACUACACUACAACUCUCCUACAUCCUACUCUUGCAAAGAUUUGGCCUAAAAUCUCAAGAACAACACCCAGAACCUAGAGGCAAAACAACGAAGCAAAGAGAGAGGGAUUUGGGGAGAAACCUUGUUCCAUGGCAAGAGGACGGGGUGGGGAUCGAUCCCACCGGUCAGAAUGCGAGGAGAGCGGCCGGAGACGGAGAUCCGGCGAGGUCCUCCAACACCAUUCUUGGCCAGGAGAGAGAGAGACGAAGUGGGGAGACGGAGUUGAAUGGGUAUGGGGAGUUGGAACUCCCCCUGCCCGCUCUUAACCCCCACCCGCUCGUGACGGCGUGGUAGUACCACGGGUAAUCGCGGUAGUACCGCCCGGGCGGAAGUACCGCACGCAGGGCGGUAGUACCACUCAUCCAGCGGCAGUAAAAAAUUACUGUCGUGCUGGUUGUGGUAGUACCGUGCUCAUCUCCUGCGGUAGUAUUGUGGCUAGCCACGGUAGUACCGUAGACCCAAGAAAGUGCAUGUUUCGACAAAGAGAAAAACAUGGCCUUUGCACAACAGCCUUCAAGCGACCGGACACGCAAACGCGCACACACACACGAGGCACCUUAGACACACACAAGGCAGAAAGAAGAAGGCAAAAGACAACAAGGACUAACCACGAAACACAACCUCUCCAAAGAGGGUGGCCGGAGCCACCUAUGUUUGAGUCAGUUUGUAUGGCACCGCGAAGAGUUAUCCUUGGGCCCAUGAAAAAAACUCAUCUUUGAAGCACAAGUACCAUAAAAAAUGGCUAAUGUGAAAGAAUUGAUCAAUUUAUGCAUAAUGGGGGGAGGGAGAGUUCAUUGAGAGAACAACACUCCCCCUAUGUCCAUGCCUACACCUAAACAAGAUAUCAAGAUGAGUAUGGUGUGGUGUGCAAGGGUUCAAGCCACAUUGCUCGAAUCAAUGAUAUUUAGCUCAUGCCUUAACUCACGAAAUCUUGCUUCAUCCAAGGGCUUCGUGAAGAUAUCUGCAAGGUUAUCAUGAGUGUUGACACAGUUGAGCUUGAUCUCCCCUCGCCUAAUAUGAACCCGGAUGAAGUGAUACUGAAUCUCAAUAUGCUUCAUCUUGAAGUGUUGCACCAGGUUGAGAGAAAUCUUGAUGGCACUUUCAUUGUCACACCAAAGAGGCACUUUGUCACAAAUGACACUGUAAUCCUUUAAAGUUUGCCUUAUCCAUAGAAGUUGUGCACAACAACUACUGGCGGCCACAUACUCCGCUUCGGUGGACGAGAGAGACACACAACUUUGCUUCUUAGACCAACUCACCAAAGAGCAACCAAGGAAUUGGCACCCCCCGGAAGUUGACUUCAUAUCCACUUUGUCUCCCGCCCAAUCAGAGUCCGAGUAGCUUAUAAGGUUGAAGUUUGCUCCUCUUGGGUACCAUAAGCCAAAGUUUGGGGUAUGAGCCAAAUAUCGAAAGAUUCGCUUGACCACCACAUAGUGGCUUUCCUUAGGUGCGGCUUGAAACCGUGCACAGAUUCCCACACUCAAGAUGAUAUCCGGUCUAGAUGCACAAAGGUAAAGGAAGGAGCCAAUCAUGGAGCGAUAUACCUUUUGAUCCACCGCUUUACCAUUGGGAUCUAUGUCAAGUUGGCAUUUGACGGACAUUGGAGUGGAAGCCGGCUUGAAAUCACUUAGCUUGAAUCUCUUGAGCAUGUCUUGAGUGUAUUUGGCUUGGUUGAUGAAGGUUCCUUCUCUUCCUUGCUUGAUUUCGAACCCGAGAAAGAACUUCAACUCUCCCAUCAUGGACAUCUUGAACUUUGAGGUCAUGAGAGUGGCAAACUCCUCAUUGAAAGCUUUGUUAGGAGAACCAAAGAUAAUAUCAUCAACAUAUAGUUGGCAUACAAACAACUCCCCUUUGACCUUCUUGGUAAAAAGAGUGGGCUCGAUUUUACCAAUUCCAAACCCACAAUCUUGCAACAACUCGGUAAGGUGCUCAUACCACGCACGUGGGGCUUGUUUAAGGUCAUAUAGCGCCUUAUCGAGUUGGUACCCAUGAUCGGGAAAAUAGGGAUCCUCGAACCCCAGUGGUUGUUUGACAUACACCAACUCAUUAAUAGGACCAUUAAGAAAAGCACUCUUCACAUCCAUUUGUUGCAACUUAAAGUUAUGAUGAGAAGUAUAAGCAAUCAAUAGACAAAUGGAUUCAAGGUGAGCAACGGGACCAAAGGUUUCACCGUAGUCAAUACCCUCGACUUGGGAGUAGCCUUAUUGAGGGAGUCCUGGAUUAGGGGGUCUCCGAACAGCCGGACUAUAUCCUUUGGCCGAACUGUUGGACUAUGAAGAUACGAGAUUGAAGACUUCGUCCCGUGUCCGAAUGGGACUCUACUUGGCGUGGAAGGCAAGCUAGGCAAUACGGAUAUGUAUAUAUCCUCCUUUGUAACCGACCUUGUGUAACCCUAGCCCCCUCCGGUGCCUAUAUAAACCGGAGGGUUUUAGUCCGUAGGACAAGAUACAACCAUACCAUAGGCUAGCUUUUAGGGUUUAGCCUCUCUCAUCUCAUGGUAGAUCGACUCUUUUAAUACUCAUAUAAUCAAGAACAAUCAAGCAGGACGUAGGGUAUUACCUCCAUCAAGAGGGCCCGAACCUGGGUAAACAUCGUGUCCCCUGCCUCCUGUUACCAUCCGCCUUAGACGCACAGUUCGGGACCCCUACCCGAGAUCUGCCGGUUUUGACACCGACAUUGGUGCUUUCAUUGAGAUUUCCACUAUGUCAUCACCAUAAGGCUUGAUGGCUCCUUCGAUCAUCGCUAGCGAUGCGGUCCAGGGUGAGGCUUUCCUCCCCGGACAGAUCUUCAUAUUCGACGGCUUUGCACUGCGGGCCAAUUCGCUUGGCCUUCUGGAGCAGAUUGAGAGCUACGCCCCUGGCCAUCAGGUCAGAUUCGGAAACUUGAACUACAUGGCCGACAUCCGCGGAGACUUGAUCUUCGACUGAUUCGGGCCCAUGUCGGACGCGCCGUGUAGUCGUGACGAGCAUGACGUAACUCUGCCGUCGGACAAUGUUCGGGAGAUCGCAUCCGCAACUACUCUGUCCAUCAAUCCGGAGCAAGUUGCGCCAUCUGAGAGCAGAGGGAUGGACCCCACCAUGGAGGCCGCACUCUCAGUGGCGUUAGAGCUGGAUACUGACUUGACUCCUUACGAGAGCCAUGUCGCUGAACCACUUGAUUCAUCUCCGGCCACGGACUCCGAGCCGCUCAUAUCCGUGCCCGUCAAAUCCGACUGGGCGCCAAUCAUGGAGUUCACCUCCGCGGAUAUCUUUCAGCACUCACCUUUAGGAGAUGUGCUAAAUUCAUUAAGGUCUCUCUCCCUGUCAGGAGAACCUUGGCCGAACUAUGUCCAGCUAGAAUGGGAUGCGGACGACGAAGAAAUUCACUGCCCACCCACCACCCACUUAGUAGCCACUGUCAACGACUUAAUUGACAUGCUCGACUUCAGCUCCGAAGACUUCGACGGUAUGGACGACGAAGCCGGAGACGAACAGGAUCCACCACCCUUGGGGCAAUGGACCGCCACCUCAUCAUAUGAUAUAUAUACAUGGUGGACACCCCCAAAGAAGCCAAUGGCGCCGAGAUAGCGGAGGAUGACCCCUCCAAGAAGCAACCCAAGCGCCGACGUCAGCGGCGCCUCUCUAAGUCCCGCCACAGCAAGAGCAGUGAUACCGGCAUAGGAGAUAAUAACACUCCGGAUAGCGCUGAAGACAACAACAAUCCCCUCCAGCACGGUGCAGAGCUAGAGGACGAACAAGCUAGCCACCGGAGGAGGACAAUUACAUGCCUCUCUCCGAAGACGAGGCGAGCCUCGGCGACGACGAGUUUAUCGUGCCUGAGGACCCCGUCGAGAAAGAGCGCUUCAAGCGCUGUCUUAUUGCCACGGAAAAUAACCUAAAGAAGAAACAACAAUAGCUUCAAGCUGAUCAAGACUUGCUAGCAGACAGGUGGACCGAAGUCCUUGCGGCCAAGGAGCAUGAACUCGAGCGCCCGUCCAAGAGUUACCCAAAAUGCAGGUUACUACCUCACCUCGAGGAGGAAGCAUUGAAACCUCAUUCACCAGUGUAUGAUGCGUCUGACCGGCCACUACGCGGCCGAGCCAGGGAGGCAUUUCAGCCUAAAGAUCAGACCGCACCCUGUUGCCACUUAGUCAAAAAUACCAAGGCCCGGGGCAACAUAGAGGACCUGCGAGACAUCUUGGACAGUAAGGCAAAAAUUGCAAGGUCAAUAUAUGGGAAACGGGCACGUGCGCCCACACGGGACGAUGAUCAUCGCGCCGGAUACACCAAGAGUAAAUCCAGCCGGGCCGAAUAUAGCAGACAAGACUCAUACGAACUAUGUCGGGAUAUAGCCCGGCACAGAGGUGCCGCACACCCCCUAUGCUUCACUGAUGAAGUUAUGAAUCAUGAAUUCCCGGAGGGUUUCAAACUCGUAAAUAUCGAAUCAUACGAUGGCACAACAGAUCCUGCUGUAUGGAUUGAAGAUUUCCUCCUUCACAUCCACAUGGCUCGCGGUGAUGAUCUACAUGCCAUCAAGUACCUCCCACUAAAACUCAAAGGACCAGCUCGACAUUGGCUGAAUAGCUUGCCAGCAGAUUCCGUUGGCAGUUGGGAGGAUCUGGAAGAUGCAUUUCUUGACAACUUCCAGGGCACUUAUGUGCGACCGCCGGAUGCUGAUGACUUGAGCCACACAACCAAGCAGCCAGGGGAAUCGGCCAGACCAUUCUAGACACGGUUCCUGACUAAGAAAAAUCAAAUUGUAGACUGUCCGGAUGCAGAGGCCCUAGCGGCAUUCAAGCAUAACAUCUGCGACGAGUGGCUCGCCCGCCACCUCGGCCAGGAGAAGCCGAAAUCUAUGGCAACCCUCACGACACUCAUGGCCCACUUUUGCGCGGGCGAGGAUAGCUGGCUGGCUCGUAGCAAUAACACAUCGAGGAAUCUGGAUACCUCGGAUACCAAAGAUGCUAACGGUAGGCAGCAUCGUAAUAGACCAAAGUGCCGCAAUAACGGCGAUAACACCGAAGAUACGGCAGUUAAUGCCGGAUUCAGAGGCUCUAGAUCCGGUCAGCGGAAAAAGCCAUUUAAAAGAAACACUUCGGCUCCGUCCAGUCUGGAUCGCUCGUGUCAAAUCCACGGCACCCCCGACAAGCCAGCCAAUCACACCAACAGAGAAUGUUGGGUGUUCAAGCAGGCCGACAAGUUAAAUGCCGAGAAUAAGGACAAGGGGCCACACAACGAUGAUGAGGAGGAGCCCCGGCCGCCGAACACAGGAGGAUAGAAGGGGUUUCCCCCACAAGUGAAGACUGUGAACAAGAUAUACGCAACCCACAUUCCCAAGAGGGAGCAGAAGCGUGCACUAAGGGACGUCUACGCGAUGGAGCCCGUCGCCCCAAAGUUCAACCCAUGGUCUGCCUGUCCGAUCACCUUCGAUCGCAGGGACCACCCCACUAGCAUCCGUCAUGGUGGAUCCGCCACACUGGUCCUAGACCCCAUCAUUGACGGAUUUCACCUCACUCGAGUCCUUAUGGAUGGCGGCAGCAGCCUGCACCUGCUUUAUCAGGAUACAGUGCAAAAAAUGGGUAUCGAUCCCUCGAGAAUUAAACCCAGAAAAACCACCUUUAAAGGUGUCAUCCCAGGUGUAGAGGCCCAUUGCACAGGCUCAAUCACACUGGAAGUGGUCUUCAGAUCACCGGAUAACUUCUGAAGCGAAGAGUUAAUCUUCGACAUCGUCCCGUUUCGCAGUGGCUACCAUGCACUGCUCGAACGGACAACAUUUGCAAAAUUCAAUUCAGUGCUGCAUUACGCAUACCUCAAGCUCAAGAUGCGAGGACCUCGCAGGGUUAUAACAGUAAAUGGAAACACAGAACGCUCGCUCUGUACGGAAGAGCACACUACGGCCCUUGCAGCAGAGGCACAAAGCAACCUGUUCAGGUAGACCACUCAUUCAGUGUCACAGCCCCCGAACACCUUCAAGCGAGUCAGAAACAAGCUGCAACAGGAUCGCCUGGCACGAUCAGAGCUCGCCUAGCAGUCCAGCCCCUGUCCCAGUCCCAGUGAAGCGACGAAAACCGUGCCACACGUACAUAACUACGCAUUGAAAAUACCAUGAACAUAGGCGGGGGCACAAUCAGGACACGCCCCACAUUGUGGCUUAACCACACUAGGGGCUGUACACCUGUGACAUUCCUUUUCUCUUUCAGGGCCUAACUCUUUGGAAGCCCUUUCCGGCAGUACGAUUGCCGAACACAUUCCGGAAGAAACAACCAAGGCGGCAAGAAGCUAGGAUGAACACGGGAACCGCCAGGUGGUCUCUAGUAAUACUUGAUAUACCCGUUUUUCACUAUUUAUGCAUAGCUUGCCCUGGGAUAAGACAUUUCGAAUUGUCCUACUUUAUGCUUAUUGCACUACUUGUACCAGUACGCUUCGACGUAUUAUUCAAAUAACAAUGCAUAUCAUUAAUCUGUCAUUGCAUUAUUUAAGUUUUUCUCUUUUCUCUUAUACGUCCAUUUACGACAAUCCGCACCCGCACGUUCAGGUACAGUCAGUACGCCAGGAGCUCUCGUUUACCCCACAAUACGACGCAGGAAAUACGAACACUUUCGACAGUGCGGCACCCCGAACUUAUAGCAUUAUAUGCAUCAGCUCCGAAUCAUGUCUUUGGUCAAAUGUUGGGUCGCCCGGCUCCCAUGCUUUGGUACCUUACGUUCCGCUAUAUCGGCUAAGGUAGCGGUGGGAGAACUACUGCGAUUGUGUCCUGGUUCUUCUGGACGAGAACCUCAGUAGAGAAAGCCAAAAACUGACUGUCAUGAUAAGGCGAGAGACUGGUCGCUGUUCGAGAGGUCUCAAGUCCUUAAAGACUUUUUCCGCUUCGGGCAAGGAGUCGGCCUUGUCCGGCUUAGGCGUGUAUAGCGCCCCAAAUUCGUCCCUACGAAUACCAGGGGCUUCGCCAAAAAUUUAAAAUUAUAGACUUCUAUGGCUAAGUGAGAGUGAUAAAGCAUUAUAGUCCGAUUGCCUGGUUCACUGCACUGAACACCUCCCUUAAAGGACCCAAAAUUGGGGUAAAGAUUGUUCAGAUUUACCCCGAACACCCCAGAACUAGUUACAUGGGGGUAGAAGCCGACGACUGGCCAACUCUCAGAUUUUAUAAAAAUGGCCGCACAGAAGGUAAUAUUUUAAAUUAAGAAAGCGUCGCAUGGUGCAAAAGAACUCGUUUCAUAUUACAGGAUCACAUGGGCAUGUUCAUUCAAAAAUUACAUCCUUGGCACCCUCAUCUGCCACUAAGCGGGAACCCUUCAGGACGCUCUCACAAUAAUUCUCAGGGCAGCGAUGCUCCUUGCCCUCCGGCGGCCCCUCCUUCACCAACUUCACGACGUCCAGCUUCGCCCGGGCAAUAGCCAUGCGUGCACCUUCGAUGCAGACAGACCAUUUGAUGACUUCAAGCCAUGGGCAGGCUUCCACAAGCCGCCUCACCAGACCGAAGUAGCUGCCGGACAGGGGCUUGCCAGGCCACAUCCGGACUAUAAGGCCCCCCAUGGCCUGUUCGGCCGCCUUGUGAAGUUCGACCAACUACUUCAGCUGGUCUCUCAAGGACAUGGGGUGUUCGGUCCUAGUAUACUGAGACCAGAACAACUUCUCCGCUGAGCUCCCUUCCUCAGCCCGGUAAAACUCCGCGGCAUCCAGUACACUGCGAGGAAGAUCUGGAAACGCUCCUGGAGAGCUCCGAACUCGGGUAAGAAAAAGGAAAGUCUCCUUCACAUGCUUGCUUUGCAUAUUGAAUGCCUUACCCGUUGCUAUCUUCUUCACCGUGUCAAUCUCCUGGAGGGCCUUGUGGGCUUCGGCCUUGGCGCUCCGGACGCUUUCAAGCGCCUGCGCGAGCUCGGACUCUCGCGUCUUGGAGUCCAGCUCCAAGGACUCAUGCUUUUUGGCGAGAGCCUCUAGCUCUUGAUGCACCUCGCCUACUCGGGCUUCUUGUUUCUCCUGUUCCAGGCGUUCUUUGGCCGCUUUGUCUUCGGCCUCAGACACCGCCUUCCUCAGGGUCUCCACCCCGGUCGUGGCCCCUGACAAAUUCAUGAUCGAUCCUAUUAGUUUACACCCGAACUUCUUUUUAACUAUAUAGACAGGGGUAUAUCUUACCUUUGCUCUCUUCGAGCUGCCCCUUGGUGAGGAUGAGCUCAUCCUCGGACCGCUUCAGGGCCUGCUUCAGCGCAGAAACCUCCACAGUACGUGCGGCAGCAGCCAGCAGUGAAGCCUGCACAUACACAUAGACAUACUCUAAUUAGACUCCUGAGUUAUCAUUUGAUCCUCUAUUCGGUUUUUCUUCACGAAUGCCGAACAGAGCAUCAGGGGCUACUAUCUAUGCGGUAAUAUUUUCUUAUAUUUUGAAUGCUUACCUCAAAGCCUGUUAGGAGGCUGGCGCAAGCUUCGGUCAGUCCGUUUUUGGCGGGCUGAACCUUCUCGACCACCGCACUCAUCAUAGUGCGGUGCUCUUCUGCGAUAGCGCUAUGAAGCGCUUCCAGCAAGGUGUCCGGUGCCUCUGGUUGGACAGAGGACACCAGCACGGAUGGUUGGCCCCCCUUAAUGGGGGACCGCCUGCCGGAGUCCGGAAUCAUCGAAGGUUCCGGCGCAGUGUCCGGCUGGGGCCCGAACUCGAAGCCCGUAGGAGCCUUGCUCCCUUGGUACCCAGGGCCCAGGAGGUCGCCGUGAGGCGCCCCCAGGAUCACCUCCCCUUGGCUCGGUGCCUUUUGAGACAACACCUCAGCGUUGUCCGUAGGGCGAGGGGUGGAAGCCGUCGGAGGAGAACCGCUGUUCAUAUCCGACGAGUCCAAAGAGUCGCUCGACGAGGGUACGUCGAGAUGAGCUCGGGAAGGACUGCAUGAUCAUGUUCGGCAUGAGGAAAGGCAGUACAAUAAAACAUACCAUGAAGCACUAUGGUGUCCGGACACUUACGGCUUCGCGAGGGGCUUGUCCCUGGGUAGCCACUCGUCGCCGCUGUCGUCGGCCGUCGUGGCACAGUCCGGAGGGAGGGUCUUUCCCUUCUUGGACCCUUCGGCCUCCCUGGAUGGGUCGACCUUCCUUUUCUUGUCUCCCCCGGCUGGGGGGGAGAGCUUUUCUCCUCCUCCUCGUUUCCGUGGGAGGAGUGCAUGUCAGAGUCAUCGGACGAUGAGCCCGAUGUAACCUUGCACCGGAGACCCUUUCGGGUCCCCGUGGCCUUCUUCUUGGCCUUCUUUUCCGGCACCUCGUAAGGUGCCGGAGUCAACAUCUUCGCUAGAAAAGCGUCUGCAGGAUCUUUGGGCAGGGGGGCUGGGCAAUCAAGCUGCUCCGCUGUCUCUCUCCAGUCCUGUUAAUAACAUGAAAGCUUAGAUCCAGCACAUAACUAAACCAGGGCGAAUAAAUACCCUGAGAGAUAUAAAAUCCUACCGGAUGGGCGCGGCGCUUUGCGCUGAGUCUGCGGUCCUCGGUAAGGGAGGGAGGCAUCUCGGCGCCCUUGAACAGCACCCUCCAGACGUCCUCGUGCGUCGUGUCGUAGAGCUCUCGUAGCGUCUGGUGCUUGGCCGAGUUGAACUCCCACAAAACAAAUGCCCGUCGUUGGCACGGAAGGAUCCGGUGGAAGAGCAUAACCUGGACCACCUUGACAAGCUUGAUUUUCUUGUUCGUCAUGUUCUGGAUGCAGGUCUGGAGUCCGGUCAGCUCUACCGCAGAACCCCAGGACAGACCCUUCUUUUUCCAGGAGGUGAGCCGCGUGGGGAUUCCGAAUUGAAAUUUGGGGGCCGCCACCCAGUUGGAGUCGCGCGGCUCGGUGAUGUAGAACCACCCCGAUUGCCACCCCUUUAUGGUAUCCACGUAGGUGCCCUCGAGCCAGGUGACAUUAGGCAUCUUGCCCACCAUGGCGCCUCCGCACUCUGCUUGCUGGCCACCCACCACCUUCAGUUUGACAUUGAAGGUUUUCAGCCAUAGGCCAAAGUGGGGCCUGAUGCGGAGGAAGGCCUCGCACAUGAUGAUAAACGCCGAGAUGUUGAGGAUGAAAUUGGGGGCCAGAUCAUGAAAAUCCAGCCCGUAGUAGAACAUGAGCCCACGGACAAACGGGUGGAGAGGAAAUCCCAGUCCGCGAACGAAAUGGGUAAGAAAAACUACCCUCUCAUGGGGUUCGGGCGUGGGGACGAUCUGCCCCGCAUUUGGCAGCCGGUGCGCGAUAUCCGCGGCCAAGUAUCCGGCUUCCCGUAACUUUUUGAUGUUCUCCUCCAUGACGGAGGAGACCAUCCACUUGCCUCCUGCUCCAGACAUGAUUGGAGUGGUUCGAGAAGAAGAACGCGAGCUUGGGCGCUAGAGCUCGAGUGUGCGGGAAUGGGUAAGAGAGAAGGAAGGAGGCGUGGGUGAAAAAGUAAAUCUUUGUCCCUUUAUAAGGGCAGAGGAGGCGAUGAUUCUCCCCACUUGGCUGGCAAAAACCGCUUAUUCCCCAGGCACCGUAAUUGAUGGCGCGGUUGGGUUACCCACGCCCGUAUUGAUGAGAAUCCCGUGAUAAGGGGAACAUGAUCUCUGCUUUGACAAGACGUAUCAAGAAAACUGCCUCGCGAUAUAUGUGGAGCUGGUUGAGAAAAGCGGUUUGAAUAAUAACCGGGGCCAUGGUGUGAUGUGAUGCUGUCAAAACGUGUCAGCAGAUUAGAUUUGUGGAAAUAUUAUUCUCUCUACGGUGGUAUGUGGAACUUAUUUUGCAGGGUCAGACACUAUCCUCAUAUUCAAACUCUUCCAUGGUGUAUUCGGAGGAGGACCCCGCCUUGCAAUGCCAAAGACAAUACUGCGCGCCGGACUCAUCGUCAUUGAAGCCUGGUUUAGGGGCUACUGAGGGAGUCCUGGAUUAGGGGGUCUCCGGACAGCCGGACUAUAUCCUUUGGCUGGACUGUUGGACUAUGAAGAUACGAGAUUGAAGACUUCGUCCCGUGUCCGGAUGGGACUCUACUUGGCGUGGAAGGCAAGCUAGGCAAUACAGAUAUGUAUAUCUCCUCCUUUGUAACCGACCUUGUGUAACCCUAGCCCCCUCCGGUGCCUAUAUAAAUCGGAGGGUUUUAGUCUGUAGGACAAGAUACAAUCAUACCAUAGGCUAGCUUUUAGGGUUUAGCCUCUCUGAUCUCGUGGUAGAUCGACUCUUGUAAUACUCAUAUCAUCAAGAACAAUCAAGCAGGACGUAGGGUAUUACCUCCAUCAAGAGGGCCCGAACAUGGGUAAACAUCGUGUCCCCUGCCUUCUGUUACCAUCCGCCUUAGACACACAGUUCGGGACCCCCUACCCGAGAUCCGCUGGUUUUGACACCGACACUUAUGCUACCAACCGAGCCUUGUUGUUGCGAACGGUAAUCCCAUGAUCAUCUUGCUUAUUCUUGAAUAUCCACUUGGUUCCAAUGACAUUAUGGUUCCCCGUUGGCCUUGGAACCAAUCUCCACACCUUGUUGUGCUCGAAGUUGUUGAGUUCUUCAUGCAUGACAUUAAGCCAAUCCGGAUCCUCGAGUGCCUCAUAGACCUUUUGGGGUUCAACACAAGACACAAACGCAUGAUGUUCACAAUAGUUUGCUAAUUGUCUAUGAGUGUUUACCCCCUUUCGUAUGCUUCCAAGCACAUUCAUCAUGAUAUGACCCUUGGUAGUGAGCUUGGAUGCAAUCUUGGCAGCACGAUGCUCCAAUUCCUCCUCAGGAGUGAGUUGAGGAGCGGUAACUUGAUCAUCUUGUGCGUUGUCUUGAGCUUGUUCUUGAUCUUGAUCUUUCUCUAGAUCUUGAACUUACUCGAAGGUGAGAACUUGAUCUUGGGCUUCACUUGGUGGUUCAACACCAUCUUGAGGUUGAUCUUGCCCUUGAUCUUGUUCAUGGGGUUGAGGGCCUUCACUUUGUUCUUUGGAAGCAUGUGGGUCUUGGGUUGGUGAUGGUUCCUAAGGGAGUCCUGGAUUAGGGGGUCUCCGGACAGCCGGACUAUAUCCUUUGGCCGGACUGUUGGACUAUGAAGAUAUGAGAUUGAAGACUUCGUCCCGUGUCCGGAUGGGACUCUACUUGGCGUGGAAGGCAAGCUAGGCAAUACAGAUAUGUAUAUCUCCUCCUUUGUAACUGACCUUGUGUAACCCUAGCCCCCUCCGGUGCCUAUAUAAACCGGAGGGUUUUAGUCCGUAGGACAAGAUACAAUCAUACCAUAGGCUAGCUUUUAGGGUUUAGCCUCUCUCAUCUCGUGGUAGAUCGACUCUUGUAAUACUCAUAUCAUCAAGAAUAAUCAAGCAGGACGUAGGGUAUUACCUCCAUCAAGAGGGCCCGAACCUGGGUAAACAUCGUGUCCCCUGCCUCCUGUUACCAUCCGCCUUAGACGCACAGUUCGGGACCCCCUACCCGAGAUCUGCCGGUUUUGACACCGACAUUGGUGCUUUCAUUGAGAGUUCCACUGUGUCGUCACCAUAAGGCUUGAUGGCUCCUUCGAUCAUCGCUAGCGAUGCGGUCCAGGGUGAGGCUUUCCUCCCCGGACAGAUCUUCAUAUUCGGCGGCUAUGCACUGCGGGCCAAUUCGCUUGGCCUUCUGGAGCAGAUUGAGAGCUACGCCCCUGGCCAUCAGGUCAGAUUCGGAAACUUGAACUACACGGCCAACAUCCGUGGAGACUUGAUCUUCGACGGAUUCGGGCCCAUGUCGGACGCGCCGUGCAGUCGUGACGAGCAUGACGUAACUCUGCCAUCGGACAAUGUUUGGGAGAUCGCAUCCGCAACUACUCCAUCCAUCAAUUCGGAGCAAGUCGCUCCAUCCGAGAGCGAAGGGAUGGACCCCGCCAUGGAGGCCGCACUCUCAGUGGCGUUAGAGCCGGAUACUGACUUGACUUCUUACGAGAGCCGUGUCGCCGAACCACUUGAUUCAUCUCCGGCCAUGGACUCCGAGCCGCUCAUAUCCGUGCCCGUCGAAUCCGACUGGGCGCCGAUCAUGGAGUUCACCUCCGCGGAUAUCUUUCAGCACUCACCUUUAGGAGAUGUGCUAAAUUCAUUAAGGUCUCUCUCCCUGUCAGGAGAACCUUGGCCGAACUAUGUCCGGCUAGAAUGGGAUGCGGACGACGAAGAAAUUCGCUGCCCACCCACCACCCACUUAGUAGCCACUGUCGAUGACUUAACUGACAUGCUCGACUUUGGCUCCGAAGACUUCGACGGUAUGGACGACAAAGCCGGAGACGAACAGGAUCCACCGCCCUCGGGGCACUGGAACACCACCUCAUCAUAUGAUAUAUACAUGGUGGACACCCCCAAAGAAGCCAAUGGCGAUGAGACAGCGGAGGAUGACCCCUCCAAGAAGCAACCCAAGCGCCAACGUCAGCGGAGCCGCUCUAAGUCCCUCCACAGCAAGAGCAGUGAUACCGACACAGGAGAUAAUAACACUCCGGAUAGCGCCGAAGACAACAACAAUCCCCUCCAGCACGGUGCAGAGCUAGAGGACGAACAACCUAGCCCUCCAGAGCAGGCAGCAGAUGGAUAACCGGAGGAGGACAAUUACAUGCCUCUCUCCGAAGACGAGGCGAGCCUCAGCGACGACGAGUUUAUCGUGCCUAAGGACCCCGUCGAGCAAGAGCGCUUCAAGCGCCGCCUUAUGGCCACGGCAAAUAGCCUAAAGAAGAAACAACAACAGCUUCAAGCUAAUCAAGACUUGCUAGCAGACAGGUGGACCGAAGUCCUUGCGGCCAAGGAGCAUGAACUCGAGCGCCCGUCCAAGAGUUACCCAAAGCGCAGGUUACUACCUCACCUUGAGGAGGAAGCAUUGAAACCUCAUUCACCAGUGUACGAUGCGGCUGACCAGCCACUACGCGGCCGAGCCAAGGAGGCAUUUCAGCCUAAAGAUCAGACCGCACCCCGUCGCCACUCAGUCAAAAAUACCAAGGCCCGGGGCAACACAGAGGACCUACGAGAUAUCUUCGACAGUAAGGCAAAAAUUGCAAGGUCAAUAUAUGGGACACGGGCACGUGCGCCCACAUGGGACGAUGAUCGUCGCGUCGGAUACACCAAGAGUAAAUCCGGCCGGGCCGAAUAUAGCAGACAAGACUCAUACGAACUACGUCGGGAUAUAGCCCGGCACAGAGGUGCCGCACACCCCCUAUGCUUCACUGAUGAAGUUAUGAAUCAUGAAUUCCCGGAGGGUUUCAAACCCGUAAAUAUCGAAUCAUACGAUGGCACAACAGAUCCCGCUGUAUGGAUUGAAGAUUUCCUCCUUCACAUCCACAUGGCUCGCGGUGAUGAUCUACAUGCCAUCAAGUACCUCCCACUAAAACUCAAAGGACUAGCUCGGCAUUGGCUGAAUAGCUUGCCCGCAGAUUCUGUUGGCAGUUGGGAGGAUCUGGAAGAUGCAUUUAUUGACAACUUCCAGGGCACUUAUGUGCGGCUGCCGGAUGUUGAUGACUUGAGCCACAUAACCUAGCAGCCAGGGGAAUCGGCCAAACAAUUUUGGAUAUGGUUCCUGACUAAGAAAAAUCAAAUUGUAGACUGCUCGGAUGCAGAGGCCCUAGCGAACAUUCAAGCAUAACAUCCGCGACGAGUGGCUCGCCCGCCACCUCGGCCAGGAGAAGCCAAAAUCUUUGGCAGCCCCCACGACACUCAUGACCCGCUUUUGCAUGGGCGAGGACAGCUGGCUGGCUCGCAGCAACAACACAUCAAGGAAUCCGGAUACCUCGGAUACCAAAGAUGCUAACGGUAGGCAGCGUCGUAAUAGACCAAAGCGCCGCAAUAACGGCGAUAACACCGAAGAUACGGCAGUUAAUGCUAGAUUCAAAGGCUCUAGAUCCGGUCAGCAGAAAAAGCCAUUUAAAAGAAACACUCCGGCUCCAUCCAGUCUGGGUCGCAUACUGGAUCGCUCGUGUCAAAUCCACGGCACCCCCGACAAGCCAGCCAAUCACACCAACAGAGAAUGCUGGGUGUUCAAGCAGGCCGGUAAGUUAAAUGCCGAGAAUAAUGACAAGGGGCCGCACAGUGAUGACGAGAAGGAGCCCCGGCCGCCGAACACAGGAGGACAGAAGGGGUUUCCCCCACAAGUGAAUACGAUGAACAUGAUAUACGCAACCCACAUUCCCAAGAGGGAGCGGAAGCGUGCACUAAGGGACGUCUACGCGAUGGAGCCCGUCGCCCCAAAGUUCAACCCAUGGUCUGCCUGUCCGAUCACCUUCGAUCACAGGGACCACCCCACUAGCAUCCAUCAUGGUGGAUCCGCCGCACUGGUCCUAGACCCCAUCAUUGACGGAUUUCACCUCACUCGAGUCCUUAUGGAUGGCGGCAGCAGCCUGAACCUGCUUUAUCAGGAUAUAGUGCAAAAAAUGGGUAUGAUCCCUCGAGAAUCAAACCCAGAAAAACCACCUUUAAAGGUGUCAUCCCAGGUGUAGAGGCCCAUUGCAUAGGCUCAAUCACAUUGGAAGUGGUCUUCAGAUCAUCGGAUAACUUCUGAAGUGAAGAGUUAAUCUUCGACAUCGUCCCAUUUCGCAGUGGCUACCAUGCACUGCUCGAACGGACAACAUUUGCAAAAUUCAAUGCAGUGCCACAUUACGCAUACCUCAAGAUCAAGAUGCGAGGACCUCGCAGGGUUAUAACAGUAAAUGGAAACACAGAACGCUCGCUUUGUAUGGAAGAGCACACUGCGGCCCUUGCAGCAGAGGCACAAAGCAACCUGUUCAGGCAGACCACUCAUUCAGUGUCACAGCCCCCGGACACCUUCAAGUGAGUCCAAAACAAGCUGCAAAAGGAUCGCCUGGCAUGAUCAGAGCUCGCCUAGCAAUCCGGCCCCAGUCCCAGUCCCAGUGAAGCGACGAAAACCGCGCCGCACGUACAUAACUACGCAUUGAAAAUACCAUGAACAUAGGCGGCGGCACAAUCAGGACACGUCAUGCAUUGUGGCUUAACCACACUAGGGGUUGUACACCUGUGACAUUCCUUUCCUCUUUCAGGGCCUAACUCUUUGGAAGCCCUUUCCGGCAGUACGAUUGUCGGACAUAUUCCGGAAGCAACAACCAAGGCGGCAAGAAGCUAGGAUGAACACGGGAACCGCCAGGUGGUCUCUAGUAAUACUUGAUAUACCCAUUUUCACUAUUUAUGCAUAGCUUGCCCUGGGAUAGGACAUUUCGAAUUGUCCUACUUUAUGCUUAUUGCACUACUUGUACUAGUACGCUUCGACGUAUUAUUCAAAUAACAAUGCAUAUCAUUAAUCUGUCAUUGCAUUAUUUAAGUUUUUCUCUUUUCUCUUAUACGUCCAUUUACGACAAUCCGCACCCGCACGUUCGGGUACGGUCAGUACGCCAGGGGCUCUCGUUUACCCCACAAUACGGUGCAGGAAGUCCGAACACUUUCGACAGUGUGGCACCCCGAACUUAUAGCAUUAUAUGCAUCAGCUCCGAAUCAUGUCUUUGGUCAAAUGUUGGGUCACCCGGCUCCCAUGCUUUGGUACCUUACGUUCCGCUAUAUCGGCUAAGGUAGCGGUGGGAGAACUACUCCGAUUGUGUCCCGGUUCUUCCGGACGAGCACCUUAGUAGAGAAAGCCAAAAACUGACUAUCAUGAUAAGGCGAGAGACUGGUCGUUGUUCGAGAGGUCUCAAGUCCUUAAAGACUUUUUCCGCUUCGGGCUAGGAGUCGGCCUUGUCCAGCUUAGGCGUGUAUAGCGCCCCAAAUUCGGCCCUCCGAAUACCAGGGGCUUCGCCAAAAAUUUAAAAUUAUAGACUUCUAUGGCUAAGUGAGAGUGAUAAAGCAUUAUAGUCUGAUUGCCUGGUUCGUUGAUGAACACCUCCCUUGAAGGACCCAAAAUUGGGGUAAAGAGUGUUCAGAUUUACCCCGAACACCCCAGUACUAGUUACAUGGGGGUAGAAGCCGACGACUGGCCAACUCUCAGAUUUUAUAAAAACGGCCACACAGAAGGUAAUAUUUUAAAUUAAGAAAGCGUCGCAUGGCGCAAAAGAACUCGUUUCAUAUUACAGGAUCACAUGGGCAUGUUCAUUCGAAAAUUACAUCCUUGGCACACUCAUCUGCCACUAAGCGGGAACCCUUCAGGACACUCUCACAGUAAUUCUCGGGACAGCGAUGCUCCUUGCCCUCCGGCGGCCCCUCCUUCACCAGCUUCACGGCAUCCAGCUUUGCCAGUGCACCUUCGCUCGGGCAAAAGCCUUGCGUGCACCUUUGAUGCAGACGGACCGCUUGAUGACUUCAAGCCGUGGGCAGGCUUCCACAAGCCGCCUCACCAAACCGAAGUAGCUGCCGGACAGGGGCUCGCCAGGCCACAUCCGGACUAUAAGGCCCCUCAUGGCCUUUUCGGCUGCCUUGUGAAGUUCGACCAACUGCUUUAGCUGGUCGCUCAAGGACACGGGGUGUUCGGUCCCAGUAUACUGAGACCAGAACAACUUCUCCGCUGAGCUCCCUUCCUCAGCCCGGUAAAACUCCGCGGCAUCCAGUACAUUGCGGGGAAGAUCUGCAAACGCUCCUAGAGAGCUCCGAACUCGGGUAAGAAAAAGGAAAGUCUCCUUCACAUGCUUGCUUUGCAUAUUGAAUGCCUUACCCGCUGCUAUCUUCUUCGCCGCGUCAAUCUCCUGGAGGGCCUUGUGGGCUUCGGCCUUGGCGCUCCGGACGCUUUCAAGCGCCUGCGCAAGCUCGGACUCUCGCAUCUUGGAGUCAAGCUCCAAGGACUCGUGCUUUUUGGCGAGAGCCUCGAGCUCUUGCUGCACCUCGCCUACUCGGGCUUCUUGUUUCUCCCGUUCCAGGCGUUCUUUAGCCGCUUUGUCUUCGGCCUCGGACACCGCCUUCCUCAGGGUCUCCACCUCGGUCGUGGCCCCUGACAAACUCAUGAAUAUCCUAUUACUUUACACCCGAACUUCUUUUUAACUAUAUAGACGGGGGUAUAUCUUAGCUUUGCUCUCUUCGAGCUGCCCCUUGGUGAGGCUGAGCUCGUCCUCAUACCGCUUCAGGGCCUGCUUCAGCGUAGAAACCUCCACAGUACGUGCGGCAGCGGACAAUAGUGAAGCAUGCACAUACACAUAGACAUACUCUAAUUAGACUCCUGAGUUAUCAUUUGAUCCUCUAUUCGGCUUUUCUUCACGAACGCCGAACAGAGCAUCAGGGGCUACUAUCUGUGCAGUAAUAUUUUCUUAUAUUUUGAAUGCUUACCUCAAAGCCUGUUAGGAGGCUGGCACAAGUUUCGGUCAGUCCGUUUUUGGCGGACUGAACCUUCUUGACCACCGCACUCAUGAUAGUGCGGUACUCUUCUGCGAUGGAAGCGCUGCGAAGCGCUUACAGCAAGGUGUCCGGUGCCUCUGGUUGGACAGAGGACACCGGCACGGAUGGUUGGCCCCCCUUAAUGGGGGACCGCCUGCCGGAGUCCGGAACCAUCGAAGGUUCUGGCGCAGUGUCCGGCUGGGGCCUGAACUCGAAACCCGUAGGAGCCUCGCUCCCUUGGUACCCAGGGUCCAGGAGGUCGCCGUGAGGCGCUCCCAUGAUCACCUCCCCUUGGCUCGGUGCCUUUUGAGACAACACCUCGGCGUUGUCCGUACGGCGAGGGGUGAAAGCCGUUGAAGGAGAACCGUUGUUCAUAUCCGACGAGUCCAAAGAGCGCUCGAUGAGGGUACGUCGAGAUGAGCUCGAGACGGACUGCAUAAUCAUGUUCGGCAUGAGGAAAGGUAGUACAAUAAAACAUACCAUGAAGCACUAUGGUGUCCGGUCACUUACGACUUCGCCAGGGGCUUGUCUCUGGGUAGCCACCCGUCGCCGCUGUCGGCGGCCGUCGUGGCACAGUCCGGAGGGAGGGUCUUUCCCUUCUUGGACCCUUCGGCCUCCCCGGAUGGGUCAGCCUUCCUUUUCUUGUCUCCCUUGGCUGGAGGGGAGAGCUUUUCUCCUCCUCCUCGUUUCCGUGGGAGGAGUGCGCGUCGGAGUCAUCGGACGAUGAGCCCGAUGUAACCUUGCGUCGGAGACCCUUUCGGGUCCCCGUGGCCUUCUUCUUGGCCUUCUUUUCCGGCACCUCAUAAGGUGCCGGAGUUAGCAUCUUCGUUAGAAGAGCAUCUGCAGGAUCUUCGGGCAGGGGGGCUGGGCAAUCAAGCUGCUCCGCUGUCUCUAUCCAGUCAUGUUAAUAACAUGAAAGCUUAGAUCCAGCACAUAACUAAACCAGGGCGAAUAAAUACCCUGAGAGAUAUAAAAGCCUACCGGAUGGGCGCGAUGCUUUGCGCUGAGUCUGUGGUCCUCGAUAAGGGAGGGAGGCAUCUCGGCGCCCUUGAACAACACCCUCCAGACGUGCUCGUGCAUCGUGUCGUAGAGCUGUGCAGCGUCUGGUGCUUGGCCGAGUCGAACUCCCACAAAACAAAUGCCCGUCGUUGGCAUGGAAGGAUCCGGCGGAAGAGCAUAACCUGGACCACGUUCACGAGCUUGAUUUCCUUGUUCGUCAUGUUCUGGAUGCAGGUCUGGAGUCCGGUCAGCUCUACCGCGGAACCCCAGGACAGACCCUUCUUUUUCCAAGAGGUGAGCCGCGUGGGCAUUGCGGAUCGAAAUUUGGGGGCCGCCACCCAUUUGGAGUCGCGCGGCUCGGUGAUGUAGAACCACCCCGAUUGCCACCCCUUUAUGGCAUCCACGUAGGUGCCCUCGAGCCAGGUGACAUUAGGCAUCUUGCCCACCAUGGCGCCUCCGCACUCUGCUUGCUGGCCACCCACCACCUUCGGUUUUACAUUCAAGGUUUCAGUCAUAGGCCGAAGUGGGGCCUGAUGCGGAGGAAGGCCUCACACACGACAAUAAACGCCCAGAUCAUGAAAAUCCAGCCCGUAGUAGAACAUGAGCCCGUGGACAAAUGGGUGGAGAGGAAAUCCUAGUCCGCGGACGAAAUGGGUAAGAAAAACUACCCUCUCAUGGGGUUCGGGCGUGGGGACGAUCUGCCCCGCAUUUGGCAGCCAGUGCACGAUAUCCGCGGCCAAGUAUCCGGCUUCCCGUAACUUUUUGAUGUUCUCCUCCGUGAUGGAGGAGACCAUCCACUUGCCUCCUGCUCCGGACAUGAUUGGAGUGGUUCAAGAAGAAGAACGCGAGCUUGGGCGCUAGAGCUCGAGUGUGCGGGAAUGGGUAAGCGAGGAGGAAGGAGGCGUGGGUGAAAAAAGUAAAUCUUUGUCCCUUUAUAAGGGCGGAGGAGGCGAUGAGUCUCCCCACUUGGCUGGCAAAAACCGCUUAUUCCCCAGGCGCCGUAAUUGAUGGCGCGGUUGGGUUACCCACGCCCGUAUUGAUGAGAAUCUCGUGAUAAGGGGAACACGAUCUCUGCUUUGACAAGACGUAUCAAGAAAACUGCCUCGCAAUAUGUGCGGAGCUGGUUGAGAAAAGCGGUUCGAAUAAUAACCGGUCCAUGGUGUGAUGUGAUGCUGUGAAAACGUGUCAGCAAAUUAGAUUUGUGGAAAUAUUAUUCUCUCUACGGUGGUAUGUGGAACUUAUUUUGCAGGGUCAAACACUAUCCUCAUAUUCAAACUCUUCCAUGGUGUAUUCGGAGGAGGACCCCGCCUUGCAAUGCCGAAGACAAUACCGCGCGCCGGACUCAUCGUCAUUGAAGCCUACUUCAGGGGCUACUGAGGGAGUCCUGGAUUAGGGGGUCUCUGGACAGCCGGACUAUAUCCUUUGCCCGGACUGUUGGACUAUGAAGAUACGAGAUUGAAGACUUCAUCCCGUGUCCGGAUGGGACUCUACUUGGCGUGGAAGGCAAGCUAGGCAAUACGGAUAUGUAUAUCUCCUCCUUUGUAACUGACCUUGUGUAACCCUAGACCCUCCGGUGCCUAUAUAAACCGGAGGGUUUUAGUCCGUAGGACAAGAUGCAAUCAUACCAUAGGCUAGCUUUUAGGGUUUAGCCUCUCUGAUCUCGUGGUAGAUCGACUCUUGUAAUACUCAUAUCAUCAAGAACAAUCAAGCAGGACGUAGGGUAUUACCUCCAUCAAGAGGGCCCGAACCUGGGUAAACAUCGUGUCCCCUGCCUCCUAUUACCAUCCGCCUUAGACGCACAGUUCGGGACCCCCUACCCGAGAUCCGCCGGUUUUGACACCGACAGUUCCACUUGAGUGGAACAUUGUCCUUCUCCUUCAGCCAUAAGGGGUUCCUCAACAGGUAGGAUAAAACCAACACCCAUUCUUCUUAUGGCUUGGGGAGGAAUUUCAUCACCUACAUCACAAUGUACCACUUUGGUCCACAUGGGAGAUGUUAUUCUCAUCAAACUCCACGUUACACGUCUCCUCAAUAAGUCCCGUGGACUUAUUGAGGACACGGUAAGAAUGAGAGUUUGUAGCAUAACCAAAAAAAUAUGCCAUCAUAAGCUCUAGCCUCAAAUUUAGACAAACGAACACCUUUCUUGAGAAUGAAACACUUACACCCGAACACCCGAAAGUACUUGAGGUUGGGUUGUUACCGGUCAGUAUCUCAUAUGGAUUUUUGUUAAAGCCUUUGCGGAGAUAGAGCCGAUUGGAUGCAUGACAUGCCGUGUUGAUGGCUUCGUCCCAAAAGUUGUAAGGAUACUUGAACUCCGCCAUCAUGGUCCUUGCCGCAUCCGUCAACGUCCGGUUCUUCCUAUCCGCUACACCAUUUUAUUGAGGGGUGUAAGGUGCGGAAUAUUGAUGCUUGAUCCCCUCAUGACUAAGAAACUCAUCCAAGGUGUAGUUCUUGAACUCGGUGCCGUUGUCACUUAUCGUCAAAAUCUUUACAUUGUGUUGGCGUUGAGCUUAAUUUGCAAAGUUAAUGGCGGUUUGUUGGGUCUCACUCUUCCUCUUGAAGAAGUAUACCCAAGUGUAUCUUGAAUAAUCAUCCACAAUCACCAAGCAAUACUUUCUACUCCCAAGACUAUCAAAGGAUGGAGGCCCAAAGAGAUCGAAGUGAAGGAGUUCCAAAGGCCUCUUCGAGUAAACGAUAGUCGUGGGAGGGUGAGCCUUCUCAUGUAGCUUUCCUUCGAUACAAGCACUGCAAGCAUGGUCUUUGGCAAAACUAACAUUUGUUAGUCCACAGACAUGGUCCCCUUGAGAAGACUUUGCAAAGAUCUCAUAUUGACAUGGGCUAAACGGCGAUGCCAAAGCCAUCCCACGUCAACUUUAUCCAUUAGGCAUGUCGUGGUCUUAGUGGGUCGCUCCGAAAAUUUAAUCACAUAGAGAACGUUCUUGACAUGCCCAACAAAGGCUACUUUAAGAGUCUUGCUCCACAAGAGGGCCAUGAUACGUCUCCAACGUAUCUAUAAUUUUUGAUUGCUCCAUGCUAUAUUAUCUACUGUUUUGGACUAUAUUGGGCUUUAUUUUCCACUUUUAUAUUAUUUUUGGACUAAUCUAUUAACCGGAGGCCCAGCCCAGAAUUGCUGUUUUUUUGCCUAUUUCAGUGUUUCGAAGAAACAGAAUAUCAGACGGAGUCCAAACGGAAUAAAAUCUUUGGGAACGUGAUUUUCUCACCGAAUGUGAUCCAGGAGACUUGGACCCUGCUCCCAGGAACAAAAGAGGCGGUCGCGAGGGUGGAGGGCGCCCCCCCUAGGGUGCGCCCCCUGCCUCGUGGGCCCCUCGUUGCUCCUCACUUCUUCCUCCUAUAUAUACACACGUACCCCCAAACGAUCAGAAUAGGAGCCAAAAACCUAAUUCCACCACCGCAACUUUCUGUAUCCACGAGAUCCCAUCUUGGGGCCUGUUCCGGAGCUCCGCCGGAAGAGGGCCGUCAUCACGGAGGGCUUCUACAUCAUCCUAGCCUCUCCGAUGAAGUGUGAGUAGUUUACCUCAGACCUUCGGGUCCAUAGUUAGUAGCUAGAUGGCUUCUUCUCUCUUUUUGGAUCUCAAUACAAUGUUCUCCCCCUCUCUUGUGGAGAUCUAUUCGAUGUAAUCUUCUUCUUUUGCGGUGUGUUUGUUGAGACCGAUGAAUUGUGGGUUUAUGAUCAAGUCUAUCUAUGAACAAUAUUUGAAUCUUCUCUGAAUUCUUUUAUGUAUGAUUGGUUAUCUUUGCAAGUCUCUUCGAGUUUCGUUUGGUUUGGCCAACUAGAUUGGUAGUUCUUGCCAUGGGAGAAGUGCUUAGCUUUGGGUUCGAUCUUGCGGUGUUCUUUCCCAGUGACAGAAGGGGCAGCAAGACACGUAUUGUAUCGUUGCCAUCGAGGAUAACAAGAUGGGGUUUAUUUCAUAUUGCAUGAAUUUAUCUCUCUACAUCAUGUCAUCUUGCUUAAAGUGUUACUCUGUUUUUAACUUAAUACUCUAGAUGCAUGCUGGAUAGCGGUCGAUGAGUGGAGUAAUAGUAGUAGAUGCAGAAUCAUUUCGGUCUACUUGUCACGGACGUGAUGCCUAUAUACAUGAUCAUGCCUAGAUAUUCUCAUAACUAUGCUCAAUUCCGUCAAUUGCUCAACAGUAAUUUGUUCACCCACCGUAGAAAACUUAUGCUCUCGAGAGAAGCCACUAGUGAAACCUAUGGCCCUCGGGUCUAUUCUCAUCAUAUCAAUCUCCAUCACUUUUAUAUUGUUUUGCUAUUUACUUUGCUUUUUACUUUUUACUUUGCAUCUUUAUAUCAAAAAUACCAAAAAUAUUCUAUCUAUCAGAUCUCACUCUCGUAAGUGACCGUGAAGGGCUUGACAACCCCUAAUCGUGUUGGUUGCGGGUAGCUAUCGCUUUGUGCAGGUACGAGGGACUUGAGCGUGGGCUCCUACUGGAUUGAUACCUUGGUUCUCAAAAACUGAGGGAAAUACUUACGCUACUCAGCUGCAUCAUCCCUUCCUCUUCGGGGAAAACCAACGCAAGCUCAAGACGUAGCAAGAAGGAUUUCUGGCGCCGUUGCCGGGGAGUCUACGCAAAAAGUCAACAUACCAAGUACCCAUCGCAAUCCCUAUCUCUCGCAUUACAUUAUUUGCCAUUUGCCUCUCAUUUUCCUCUCCCCCAAUUCACCCUUGCCGUUUUAUUCGCCCUCUCUUUCUCUCUCUAUCCUCCCUCUCGUUUGCUAUUUGCCUCUUUUGCCCGUUUCUUGUUUGCUCGUAUGGUUGGAAUAGUCAUUUAUUUAUUACUAAACAGAGAACUAAUAUCUAUGGAUCCUCAUCCGCUUGUCAAUCUUUUUAAGAGAUCCAAUUAUGAUGAACCAAUUCCUAGUGAUUUGGAUGCACAAGAUUAUCUUUAUAAGCUUUUGCCUGAAAUCCAUAAAUCUGAAAAUUGUGAUGAAGUGCUUCACGAUAGAUCUUUGAAUAAAAAGCAUGACUGCAAUGAUUUUAUUAUAAAUUCUCUUGAUGUCAAUUGUGCUAAUAAUAUGCAAAACCCUAAGCUUGGGGAUGCUAGUUUUGCUAUGUCCUCUACUUGUUGCAAUGAUCAUGAUUGGGGUGAUUCUUCUUUUGAUCUUGAAAAUUUAUUUAAACCCCAUGAUGAAUAUGAGAUUGAUUAUAAUGUUUGCAAUAAUUUUGGAAGUGGGUUUGGAAGAAUGUCAACUUUAGCUCCCACAUAUUUGGAGAAUGUUCAAUCUUAUGAAGUUUUUGAUAAAAGUGGGUUUGGAAAGGUCGUGACUUUAGUUAAUGUUAAUCCCACUAUUUUGGAAGAGUGUCAACUUUGCACGCAUGUGGAUUGUGUUGAAAAUAUUUUAUGUGAUAGCUAUUUUGUUGAAUUUACUUAUGAUCCUACAUAUAAUUAUUAUGAGAAAGUAAAAUAUGGUGGUAGAAAUUUCCAUGUUACUAAAUUACCUCUCGUUAUGUUGAGAUUGCUAUUGUUUCCUUCCGCUUCCUUGCAUAUGCUAGUUUUCGCUUGCCUUGAUAAUUUGUUUGCCUAUAAAAUGCCUAUUCAUAGGAAGUAUGUUAGACUUGGAUGUGUUUGUCACGUGUUUUAUGAUGCUCUGUUUGUGCUUCAAUUCUUGUCUUUCAUGUGAGCAUCAUUAAAAUUAUCAAUGCCUAGCUUUAAGGAUUUAAAGAAAAGUGCUUGUUGGGAGUCAACCCAAUAUUUAUCCUUGCUGUCAUUUAAUAAAUAAAUUAUUUAGCCUCUGUUUUGGUUGUGUUUUUUUGUGUUUAAUUAGUGUUUGUGCCAAGUAGAACCUUUGGGAAGACUUGGGGAAAGUCUUGUUGAACUUGCUGUAAAAAACAGAAACUUUAGCGCUCAUGAGAACUGCUGUCAUUUUUAUUUGAAGAGUGCUAUUUAGUUAAUUAUUUUUGCAGAUGAUUAAUAGAUAAAUUCCUCACGUCCAGCAUUUUAUUUUAGAAUUUUUGGGGUUCCAGAUCUUGCGCUAGCUACAGAUUACUACAGACUGUUCUGUUUUUGACAGAUUCUGUUUUUCGUGUGUUGUUUGCUUAUUUUGAUGAAUCUAUGGCUAGUAAAAUAGUUUAUAAUCCAUAGAGAAGUUGGAAUACAGUAGCUUUAACACCAAUAUAAAUAAAUAAUGAGUUCAUUACAGUACCUUGAAGUGGUCUUUUGUUUUCUUUCGCUAACGGAGCUCACUUGUUUUCUAUUUUGAGUUUUGUGUUGUGAAGUUUUCAAGUUUUGGGUGAGUUCUUUUGAUGGAUUAUGGAACAAGGAGUGGCAAGAGACUAAGCUUGGGGAUGCCCAUGGCACCCCCAAGAUAAUCCAAGGACACCAAAAAGUCAAAGCUUGGGGAUGCCCCGGAAGGCAUCCCCUCUUUCGUCCACUUCCAUCGAUAAUUUACUUGGAGCUAUAUUUUUAUUCACCAACAUGAUAUGUGUUUUGCUUGGAGCGUCUUGUAUUAUUUGUGUCUUUUUUUGUUAGUAUGCCACAAUCAUCCUUGCUUUACACACCUUUUGAGAGAGUCAUCUAUGAAUUAAAAUUUGAUAGAAUACUCUAUGUGCUUCACUUAUAUCUUUUGAGCUAUGUAGUUUUGCUCUACGUACUUCACUUAUAUCUUUUGAGCGUUAUAAUUUUGCUCUAUGUGCUUCACUUAGAUCUUUUAGAUCACGGUGGUGGUUUGUUUUAAAUAAACUAUUGAUCUCUCAUGCUUCACUUAAAUUAUUUUGAGAGUCUUAAUAGCAUGGUAAUUUGCUUAACAUAAAUAUGCUUAGUGUUCAAGAUAUGUGAAAUUUUCUUUUGAGUGCGUUGAAUACUAAGAGAAGAUUGAAGCAUGAUAAUUGUUUUGAGAUAUGGAGGUGAUAAUAUUAGAGUUAUGCUAGUUUAGUAGUUGUGAAUUUAAAGAAUACUUGUGUUAAAGUUUGUGAUUCCCGUAGCAUGCACGUAUGGUGAACCGUUAUGUGAUGAAGUCGGAGCAUAAUUUAUUUAUUGAUUGUCUUCCUUAUGAGUGGCGGUCGGGGACGAGCGAUGGUAUUUUCCUACCAAUCUAUCCCCCUAUGAGGAUGUGCGUAAUACUUUGAUUUGAUAACUUCUAGAUUUUUGCAAUAAGUAUAUGAGUUCUUUAUGACUAAUGUUGAGUCCAUGGAUUAUAUGCACUUUUUCCCAUCCUUCCACCAUUGCUAGCCUCUCUAAUACCGCGCACCUUUCGCCGGUAUCAUACACCCACCAUAUACCUUCCUCAAAACAGCCACCAUACCUACCUAUCAUUUCAUUUCCAUAGCCAUUCCGAGAUAUAUUGCCAUGCAACUUUCCACCGUUCUGUUUAUUAUGACACGCUCCAUCAUUGUCAUAUUGCUAGCAUGAUCAUGUAGUUGACAUUGUAUUUGUGGCAAAGCCACCAUUCAUAAUUCUUUCAUACAUGUCACUCUUGAUUCAUUGCAUCUCCCGGUACACCGCCGGAGGCAUUGAUAUAGAGUCAUAUUUGUUCUAAGUAUCGAGUUGUAAUUGUUGAGUUGUAAGAAAAAUAAAAGUGUGAUGAUCAUCAUUUUCUAGAGCAUUGUCCCAAGUGAGGAAAGGAUGAUGGAGACUAUGAUUCCCCCAUAAGUCGGGAUGAGACUCCGGACGAAAAAUAAAUAAAAGAGGCCAAAGAAGCCCAAAAAAAGAGAGAAAGAAAAGAGGCCAUAAAAAAGAAGAAAAGGCCCAAAUAAAAAUAAAUAAAUAAAAAAUGAGAGAAAAAAGAGAGAAGGGACAAUGUUACUAUCCUUUUACCACACUUGUGCUUCAAAGUAGCACCAUGAUCUUCAUAGUAGAGAGUCUCUCAUGUUAUCACUUUCAUAUACUAGUGGGAAUCUUUCAUUAUAGAACUUGGCUUGUAUAUUCCAAUGACGGGCUUCCUCAAAUUGCCCUAGGUCUUCAUGAGCAAGCAAGUUGGAUGCACACCCACUUAGUUUCUUUUUGAGCUUUCAUAUACUUAUAGCUCUAGUGCAUCCGUUGCAUGGCAAUCCCUACUCACUCACAUUGAUAUCUAUUGAUGGGCAUCUCCAUAGCCCGUUGAUACGCCUAGUUGAUGCGAGACUAUCUUCUCCUUUUUGUCUUCUCCACAACCACCAUUCUAUUCCACCUAUAGUGCUAUAUCCAUGGCUCACACUCAUGUAUUGCGUGAAGAUUGAAAAAGUUAGAGUAUGAAACAAUUGCUUGGCUGGUCAUCGGGGUUGUGCAUGAUUUAAAUACUUUGUGUGGUGAAGAUAGAGCAUAGCCAGACUAUAUGAUUUUGUAGGGAUAACUUUCUUUGGCCAUGUUAUUUUGAGAAGACAUAAUUACUUUAUUAGUAUGCUUGAAGUGUUAUUAUUCUUUAUGUCAAUAUGAACUUUUGUCUCAAAUCUUUCUAAUCUGAAUAUCCAUACCACAAUUAAGAAAUUUUGCAUUGAAAGUAUGCCAAGUAGCACUCCGCAUCAAAAAUUCUCUUUUUAUCAUUUACCUACUUGAGGACGAGCAGGAAUUAAGCUUGGGGAUGCCUGAUACGUCUCCAAUGUAUCUAUAAUUUUUGAUUGCUCCAUGCUAUAUUAUCUACUGUUUUGGACUAUAUUGGGCUUUAUUUUCCACUAUUAUAUUAUUUUUGGGACUAACUUAUUAACCGGAGGCCCAGCCCAGAAUUGAUGUUUUUUGCCUAUUUCAGUGUUUCGAAGAAACAGAAUAGCAGACGGAGUCCAAACGGAAUAAAAUCUUCGGGAACGUGAUUUUCUCACCGAACGUGAUCCAGGAGACUUGGACCCUACUCCAGGUGGUCACGAGGGCGGGGGGCGCCCCCCCUAGGGCGCGCCCCCUGCCUCGUGGGCCCCUCGUUGCUCCUCCGGCGUACUUCUUCCUCCUAUAUAUAUACAUGUACCCCCAAACGAUCAGAACAGGAGCCAAAAACCUAAUUCCACCGCUGCAACUUUCUGUAUCCAUGAGAUCCCAUCUUGGGGCAUGUUUCGGAGCUCCGCCGAAAGAGGGCCGUCAUCACGGAGGGAUUCUACAUCAUCCUAGCCUCUCCGAUGAAGUGUGAGUAGUUUACCUCAGACCUUCAGGUCCAUAGUUAGUAGCUAGAUGGCUUCUUCUCUCUUUUUGGAUCUCAAUACAAUGUUCUCCCCCUCUCUUGUGGAGAUCUAUUCGAUGUAAUCUUCUUCUUUUGCGGUGUGUUUGUUGAGACCGAUGAAUUGUGGGUUUAUGAUCAAGUCUAUCUAUGAACAAUAUUUGAAUCUUCUCUGAAUUCUUUUAUGUAUGAUUGGUUAUCUUUGCAAGUCUCUUCGAAUUAUCCGUUUGGUUUGGCCAACUAGAUUGGUAGUUCUUGCCAUGGGAGAAGUGCUUAGCUUUGGGUUCGAUCUUGCGGUGUUAUUUCCCAGUGACAGAAGGGGCAUCAAGACACAUAUUGUAUCAUUGCCAUCGAGGAUAACAAGAUGGGGUUUAUUUCAUAUUGCAUGAAUUUAUCUCUCUACAUCAUGUCAUCUUGCUUAAAGCGUUACUCUGUUUUUAACUUAAUACUCUAGAUGCAUGCUGGAUAGCGGUCGAUGAGUGGAGUAAUAGUAGUAGAUGCAGAAUCGUUUCGGUCUACUUGUCAUGGACGUGAUGCCUAUAUACAUGAUCAUGCCUAGAUAUUCUCAUAACUAUGCUCAAUUCUGUCAAUUGCUCAAUAGUAAUUUGUUCACCCACUGUAGAAAACUUAUGCUCUCGAGAGAAUCCACUAGUGAAACCUAUGGCCCCCGGGUCUAUUCUCAUCAUAUCAAUCUCCAUCACUUCUAUAUUGUUUUGCUAUUUACUUUGAUUUUACUUUUUACUUUGCAUCUUUAUAUCAAAAAUACCAAAAAUAUUCUAUCUAUCAGAUCUCACUCUCGUAAGUGACCGUGAAGGGCUUGACAACCCCUAAUCACGUUGGUUGCGGGUAGCUAUCGCUUUGUGCAGGUACGAGGCCACGGUAUCAAUAUCAAAGAAAGUGGCAAAGCCCAUGAGUGCAAGUUGACGAACGGAAAGUAAAUUGUAUGCAAGCUCAACAAGCAUGACUUUCUCAAUCGUGAGAUCAUGAGAAAUGACAACCUUGCCAAGUCCUAAUACCUUAGAAGACGAGGCAUCACCCCACUCGACAUUGGUGGGCAUAGAUGGAAUCUUGUGCACGUCCACCACCAAGUCCUUGCUUCCGGUCAUAUGAUUAGUGGCUCCACUGUCGAGCAACCAAGUGCUACCUCUUGAGCACUGCAUUGGUUUUCCCUUGAAGAGGAAAGGGUGAUGUAGCAAAGUAGCGUAAGUAUUUCCCUUAGUUUUUGAGAACCAAGGUAUCAAUCCAGUAGGAGAUCACGCUCGAGUCCCACACACCUACACAAACAAAUAAGAACCUCGCAACCAACGUGAUAAAGGGGUUGUCAAUCCCUUCACGGUCACUUACGAGAGUGAGAUCUGAUAGAUAUGAUAAUAUAAUAUUUUUGGUAUUUUUAUGAUAAAGAUGCAAAGUAAAAUAAACGGCAAAAGAACUAACUAGGUGUUGGAAGAUUAAUAUGAUGGAAGAUAGACCCGGGGCCAUAGGUUUCACUAGUGGCUUCUCUCAAGAGCAUAAGUAUUACGGUGGGUAAACGAAUUACUGUCGAGCAAUUGAUAGAAUUGAGCAUAGUUAUGAGAAUAUCUAGGUAUGAUCAUGUAUAUAGGCAUCACGUCCGUGACAAGUAGACCGAAACGAUUCUGCAUCUACUACUAUUACCCCACACAUCGACCGCUAUCCAGCAUGCAUCUAGAGUAUUAAGUUCAUAAGAACAAAGUAACACCUUAAGCAAGAUGACAUGAUGUAGAGGGAUAAACUCAUGCAAUAUGAUAUAAACCCCAUCUUUUUAUCCUUGAUAGCAACAAUACAAUACGUUUCCCUUUCUGUCACUGGGAUCGAGCACCGCAAGAUUGAACCCAAAGCUAAGCACUUCUCCCAUUGCAAGAAAGAUCAAUCUAGUAGGCCAAACCAAACCGAUAAUUCGAAGAGACUUGCAAAUAUAAACAAAUCAUACAUAAAAGAAUUCAGAGGAGAAUCAAAUAUUGUUCAUAGAUAAACUUGAUCAUAAACCCACAAUUCAUCGGAUCUCGACAAACACACCGCAAAAUAAGGUUACAUCGAAUAGAUCUCCAAGAAGAUCGAGGAGAACUUUGUAUUGAGAUCCAAAGAGAGAGAAGAAGCCAUCUAGCUAAUAACUAUGGACCCGUAGGUCUGAAAUAAACUACUCGCGCAUCACCGGAGAGGCCAUGGAGUUUAUGUAGAGGGCCUCCGUGAUCAAUGCCCCCUCUGGCGGAGCUCCGGAAAAGGCCCCAAGAUGGGAUCUCUCGGGUACGUAAGGUUGCGGCGGUGGAAUUAGGUUUUCGUGGAGCUCCUGGAUGUUUGGGGGGUACAUGGAUAUAUAUAGGAGGAAGAAGUACGUCGGUGGAGCAACGAGGGGCCCACGAGGGUGGAGGGCGCGCCCAGGGGGGUAGGCACGCCCCCUGCCUCGUGCCCUCCUUGAUCGUUUCUUGAUGCACCCUCCAAGUCUCCAGGAUCACGUUUGUUGAGAAAAUCACGUUCCCGAAGGUUUCAUUCCGUUUGGAUUCCGUUUGAUAUUCCUUUUCUUCAAAACCCUAAAAUAGGCAAAAAAAAAUAGCAAUUUGGGUUGGGCCUCCGAUUAGUAGGUUAGUCCCAAAAAUGAUAUAAAAGUGUAAAAUAAAGCCCAUUAACAUCCAAAAUAUAUAAUAUAAUAGCAUGGAGCAAUCAAAAAUUAUAGAUACGUUGGAGACGUAUCAAGCAUCCCCAAGCUUAAUUACUGCUCGUCCUCGAGUAGGUAAAUGAUAAAAGAAGAAUUUUUGAUGUGGAAUGCUUUCUAACAUAUUUCUCAAUGUAAUUUUUCCUUAUUGUGGCAUGAAUGUUCAGAUCCGAAAGAUUCAAGAUAAAAUUUUAAUAUUGACAUAAAAAUAAUAAUACUUCAAGCAUACUAACUAAGCAAUUAUGUAUUCUCAAAAUAACAUGUCCAAAGAAAGUUAUCCCUACAAAAUCAUAUAGUCUGGCUAUGCUCUAUCUUCACCACACAAAAUAUCUAAAUCAUGCACAACCCCGAUGACAAGCCAAGCAAUCGUUUCAUACUUUUGAUGUUCUCAAACUUUUUAAUCUUCACGCAAUAUAUGAGCGUGAGCCAUGGAUAUAGCACUAUUUGUGGAAUAGAAUGGUGGUUGUGGAGAAGACAAAAAAGGAGAAAAUAGUCUCACAUCAACUAGGCAUAUCAACGGGCAAUGGAGAUGCCCAUCAAUAGAUAUAAAUGUGAGUGAGUAGGGAUUGCCAUGCAACGGAUGCAUUAGAGCUAUAAGUAUAUGAAAGCUCAACAAUAGAAACUAACUGGGUGUGCAUCCAACUCGCUUUCUCAUGAAGACCUAGGGCAUUUUGAGGAAGCCCGUCAUUGGAAUAUACAAGCCAAGUUCUAUAAUGAAAAAUUCCCACUAGUAUAUGAAAGUGAUAUCAUAGGAGACUCUCUAUUAUGAAGAUCAUGGUGCUACUUUGAAGCACAAGUGUGGAAAAAGGAUAUUAACAUUGUCCCUUCUCUCUUUUUCUCUUAUUCUUUUUUUAUUUGGGCCUUCUUUCUUUUUUCUUUUUGGCCUCUUUUUCGUCCGGAGUCUCAUCCCGACUUGUGGGGGAAUCAUAGUCUCCAUCAUCCUUUCCUCACUUGGGACAAUGCUCUAAUAAUGAUGAUCAUCACACUUUAAUUUCUUACAACUCAAUACUUAGAACCAAAUAUGACUCUAUCUGAAUGCCUCCGGCGGUUUAUCGGGAUGUGCAAUGAUGCAUGAGUGACAUGUAUGAAGAAUUAUGAACGGUGGCCUUGCCACAAAUACGAUGUCAACUACAUGAUCAUGCAAGCAAUAUGACAAUGAUGAAGCGUGUCAUAAUAACGGAAUGGUGGAAAGUUGCAUGGUAAUAUAUCUCGGAAUGGCUAUGGAAAUGCCAUAAUAGGUAGGUAUGGUGGCUGUUUUGAGAAAGGUAUAUGGUGGGUUUAAGGUACCGGCGAAAGUUGCGCGAUACUAGAGAGGCUAGCAAUGGUGAAAGGGUGAGAGUGCGUAUAAUCCAUGGACUCAACAUUAGUCAUAAAGAACUCACAUACUUAUUGCAAAAAUCUAUUAGUUAUCAAAACAAAGUAUUACGCGCAUGCUCCUAGGGGGUAGAUUGGUAGGAAAAGACCAUCGCUCGUCCCCGACCGCCACUCAUAAGGAAGACAAUCAAUAAAUAAAUCAUGCUCCGACUUCAUCACAUAACGGUUCACCAUACGUGCAUGCUACGGGAAUCACAAACUUCAACACAAGUAUUUCUCAAAUUCACAACUACCCGACUAGCAUGACUCUAAUAUCACCAUCUCCAUAUCUCAAAACAAUUAUCAAGUAUCAAACUUCUCAUAGUAUUCAAUGCACUUCUAUGAAAGUUUUUAUAUUAAAGCAAAUUUCCAUGUUGUUCUAAAGGACUCUCAAAAUAAUAUAAGUGAAGCAUGAGAGAUCAAUUAUUUCUAUAAAAUAAAACCACCAUCGUGCUCUAAAAGAUAUAAGUGAAGCAUUAGAGCAAAAACUAUAUAGCUCAAAAGAUAAAAGUGAAGCACAUAGAGUAUUCUAAUAUAUUUCAAAUCAUGUGAGUCUCUCUAAAAAGGUGUGUACAGAAAGUAUGAUUGUGGUAAACUAAAAAGCAAAGAUUCAAAUCAUACAAGACGCUCCAAGCAAAACACAUAUCAUGUGGUGAAUAAAAAUAUAGCUCCAAGUAAAGUUACCGAUAGACAAAGACGAAAGAGGGGAUGCCUUCCGGGGAAUCCCCAAGCUUAGGCUUCUUGGUGUCCUUGAGUUUUACCUUGGGGUGCCAUGGGCAUCCCCAAGCUUAGGCUCUUGCCACUCCUUGUUUCUUAAUCCAUCAAAUCUUUACCCAAAACAUGAAAACUUCACAACACAAAACUCAAAAUAGAAAAUCGCGUGAGCUCCAUUAGCGAAAGAAAACAAAAAACCACUUCAAGGUACUGUAAUGAACUCAUUAUUUACUUAUAUUGGUGUUAAAACUAAUGUAUUCCAACUUCUCUAUGGUUUUUAAACUCUUUUACUAGCCAUAGAUUCAUCAAAAUAAGCAAACAACACACGAAAACAGAAUCUGUCAAAAACAGAACAGUCUGUAGUAAUCUGUAGCUAACGCAACUUAUGGAACCCCAAAAAUUCUAAAAUAAAUUGCUGGAUGUGAGGAAGUUAUCUAUUAAUCAUCUGAAAAAAUAAUUAACUAAAUAGAACUCUCCAAAUAAAAAUGGCAUCAAUUCCCGUGAGCGCUAAAGUUUCUGUUUUUUACAGCAAGAUCAAAAAGACUUCCCCAAGUCUUCCCAACGAUUCUACUUGGCACAAACACUAACUAAACACAAAAAACACAACCAAAACAGAGGCUAGAUAAAUUAUUUAUUACUAAACAGGAGAAAAAAGCAAGAAAUAAAAAUAAAAUUGGGUUGCCUCCCAACAAGCGCUAUCGUUUAACGCCCCUAGCUAGGCAUAAAAGCAAGGAUAGAUCUAGGUAUUGCCAUCUUUGGUAUUAGGAAAGAAAACAGAAAAAUUCUUUUCUAUAGCAUUUAUCUUUCUAUUUUGAGAUAGCACAUGGCCAUUAAUGGUGGAAGAAAGAUUAAGCACGUUACGGAAAUUGGCAUCUAAGCUAGCCUUCAUUUCUUUGAUAAUUUCAUUUUGAUAAAAGCACAAAAAAGAGGUAGAUUCAACCUUCUCAUACAUGGGGUGCCCAAAUAUAGUUUUCAUCUUUUCAUAGGUAUCGAUGGGAUCCCCCUCAAGAAAACCCUCUUCAAAAAUAGAAUCUAGAACUUGCUUGAACGAGGAGGGUAGACCAAUAUAAAAGCUUUUCAGGUAAACCUCAAUUUGAUAUUGUGGCACAUAGCUAGCUCGGAUCCUUAAUAGCCUAUCCCAAGCAUCUUUCAAAGAUUCAUCAAGUAAAUAAUGAAAAGUUCCGGGAUCAUCUUCAUCAAAAUUAUUCGAAUUCUCAUUGAUAACCCCGGUAGGUCUUUCCAUAGCAUCAUUAUUUAUGAGCUUAGAGAGGACAGAAGGACUAUCCAAGGUAAAACCCGAGAGAGAACCCUUAGCCCUUUUUGAAUCGGCCAUGGUACAAGAAAACAAAUGGGAAAGGAGACGAAUAAAAUGGCAAGGGUGAAGUGGGGAAGAGGAAAAUGAGAGUCAAAUGACAAAUAAUGUAAUGCGAAGGAUAAGAGUUUGUGAUGGGUACUUGAUAUGUCUUGACUUGUGCGUAGAUUCCGGCAACGGUGCCAGGAAUGACUCGUUGUCAGGAGUCGAAUCUUGACUUAACUUGGCGCGAAUCUCCCUAGCAACGGUGCCCGAAAUCCUUCUUGCUACCUCUUGAGCAUUGCGUUGGUUUUCCCUUGAAGAGGAAAGGGUGAUGCAGCAAAGUAGCGUAAGUAUUCCCCUCAGUUUUUGAGAACCAAGGUAUCAAUCCAGUAGGAGAUCACGCUCGAGUCCCACGCACCUACACAAACAAAUAAGAACCUCGCAACCAACGCGAUAAAGGGGUUGUCAAUCCCUUCACGGUCACUUACGAGAGUGAGAUAUGAUAGAUAUGAUAAGAUAAUAUUUUUGGUAUUUUUAUGAUAAAGAUGCAAAGUAAAAUAAACGGCAAAAGAAAUAACUAAGUGUUGGAAGAUUAAUAUGAUGGAAGAUAGACCCGGGGGCCAUAGGUUUCACUAGUGGCUUAUCUCAAGAGCAUAAGUAUUAUGGUGGGUAAACGAAUUACUGUCGAGCAAUUGAUAGAAUUGAGCAUAGUUAUGAGAAUAUCUAGGUAUGAUCAUGUAUAUAGGCUUCACGUCCGCGACAAGUAGACCAAAAUGAUUCUGCAUCUACUACUAUUACUCCACACAUCGACCGCUAUCCAGCAUGCAUCUAGAGUAUUAAGUUCAUAAGAACAGAGUAACACCUUAAGCAAGAUGACAUGAUGUAGAGGGAUAAACUCAUGCAAUAUGAUAUAAACCCCAUCUUUUUAUCCUCGAUGGCAACAAUACAAUACGUGUCGGUUCCCUUUCUGUCACUGGGAUCGAGCACCGCAAGAUUGAACCCAAAGCUAAGCACUUCUCCCAUUGCAAGAAAGAUCAAUCUAGUAGGCCAAACCAAACUGAUAAUUCGAAGAGACUUGCAAAGAUAAACCAAUCAUACAUAAAAGAAUUCAGAGGAGAAUCAAAUAUUGUUCAUAGAUAAACUUGAUCAUAAACCCACAAUUCAUCGGAUCUCGACAAACACACCGCAAAAGAAGAUUACAUCGAAUAGAUCUCCAAGAAGAUGGAGGAGAACUUUGUAUUGAGAUCCAAAGAGAGAUAAGAAGCCAUCUAGCUAAUAACUAUGGACCCGUAGGUCUGAAAUAAACUACUCACACAUCACCGGAGAGGCCAUGGAGUUGAUGUAGAGGCCCACCGUGAUCAAUGCCCCCUCCGGCGGAGCUCCGGAAAAGGCCCCAAGAUGGGAUCUCUCGGGUACAGAAAGUUGCGGCGGUGGAAUUAGGUUUUCGUGGUGCUCCUGGAUGUUUGGGGGGUACAUGGAUAUAUAUAGGAGGAAGAAGUACGACGGUGGAGCAACGAGGGGCCCAUGAGGGUGGAGGGCGCGCCCCCUUGCCUCAUGCCCUCCUCGAUCGUUUCUUGACGCACACUCCAAGUCUCCUGGAUCAGGUUUGUUGAGAAAAUCACGUUCCCGAAGGUUUCAUUCCGUUUGGACUCCGUUUGGACUCCGUUUGAUAUUCCUUUUCUUCGAAACCCUAAAAUAGGAAAAAAGAACAACAAUUUGGGCUGGGCCUCCGGUUAGUAGGUUAGUCCCCAAAAUGAUAUAAAAGUGCAUUAACAUCCAAAAUAGAUAAUAUAAUAGCAUGGAGCAAUCAAAAAUUAUAGAUACGUUGGAGACGUAUCACCAAGAUCCCCCACCGGAAGCAAACACGUGCAAGAGAUCAAUGCUUGGUUUUAGGUACCCAUUUUGUAAUGGGUCCUUUGAUGUUAGUAACAAGGGUCUUAGGAACCCAAAUAGACCAUUCAAUGUACUCAUAAGGAGAACCAACAAAUUUAGCAUAAACAUGCCCAUCACUAGCACGACACAACACAUAAGAAGGGUUAAAGUCGCCGGAUUUGUUGGAAGGGGUGGCAUUGCCCUUAUUGACACCACCACCCUUCUCAUUGUUCUUCUUCUCCUUAGAAGCACCCUCUCCCUCCCUCACAAAAGUUUGCUUGAGAGGAGCAGGUCGUUUGGCCUUGUCAUUCUUCUCCUUGUUCUUGGGCUUGGAAGCAAACCCAAUUCCCUCCUUGCCCACAACUUCCUUUUGAUUGCUCAAAAGGUCGUUGAGGUUCUUCUCACCUUGUAUGCAAGACACAAGGCCUUUCUCAAGUUGCUCCUCCAACUUAGCAUUCUUCUCCACAAGAUGCACAUGCUCACAACAUGGGUUAGUAGCAUUUGCAUUAUCAAUUAAGACCAUAUGAGGAAAAGUGGCCUUUUCCUUAGUUAGCUUCACUUGGAGUUGAUCAUGAGACUCUUUGAGGCUAGCACGAGCACCCUUCAAGGGUUUGUGAGCCUUGUCGAGUAUAUCAAACUCCUCCUUGAUUCUAGCAAGAUCAAGCCCAAGUUUGGCCUUCUCAGAAUUGAGCACACGAGAUACAACAAGUGCAUGAUCAAGAUCUUUCUUUAAUUUAGCAUGAUCAUCGUUGUGUGACUCCUCAAGAGCCAAACGGUGACCACGCUCUUCCUCAAGAGCAUUAGAGAGAUCCGAUAUCUCAUCGGCAUAGUCACGACUAUGUCCCUCCAUCUUAGAGAUGGUGUCUUCGUGAGCCUCGAUCAUGUCAUUGGCUUCACCAAGUUGUUCCAAGAGAGCAAAAAAGUGCUUCUUAGACUUACCCUUGAGCUUACUCAUACAAGACUCAAAUUCAUUUUCUUCCUCAUUAGACCCCUCACUUUCAUCAAUGAAAAUCCGUCAAAGAGGGAUUAGUAGUGAUGGUAGUUUUGAUGUUGGGGGUUACCUUGUUGGUGGCUUUGGCCAUGAGGCACUUAGCGGUGAUGUUCUCGUUGGGUGAGUCGAAGAGCGACACCCGUGGAGUUGUUGCAAUGGCAACGGAGGCCAUGUCAACCGUCUCAUCGUCUUCAUCAUUGUCAUCAUCCUCAUUGUACUCUUCAUGUGCCACCAACCCCUUGGAAGGAGUCUUCUUGGUGAAGUUGCUCUUGUUGGGGAAGGACUUGGCCUUGUCUUUUCGGAUGAGCUUGCCACCAUUGUCUUCCCUCUUCUCAUAUGGGCACUUUGCAACAAAAUGGCUCACAUUGCCACAAUUAUAGAAAGUCCUCACACGUUGCUUUCCCUUCACGCCACUUGAGUUGUUCUUGUUGAAGUUGGGCCUUGUGUUCUUCUUGCUCCAAAAUUGCCUUGAAGCGAGAGGCAUGUGCUCAUGGUAAGCAUAUUUCGUAUCUUCGGGGUUGCUCUCCUCUUCUUCCUCUUUGUCCUCUUCUUCCACACUAGCCUUGGCCUUCAAGGCAAGGUUGGGCUUCUUUGCUCUUUGAGAAUGCAACACUGCAUUGUCGGUGGUCUUGUCCAAGAUCCUCAUAGCCACAAACUCAUCCAACACUUCACUUGAGGACAAGGUGUGGAAGUACGGCCUUUGAAGAAUAACGGAGGACAUGGCCUUGUGGUAAGGCAUCAUGGCCUUGAGGAACUUGCGCUUGAUCCAAUUUUCAUCUGUAUCCUUGCUCCCAUGAUCUCGGAGUGAGACCGCAAGAGUGGUUAAUCUCCGGUAAAUCUCAAGAGGCUCUUCAUCUUCAUUCAUUGCAAACUCAUCAGCUUCAUCUUGUACCACUUCAUAGUUGGAGCGUUGAAUGAUUGCGCUUCCUUUGUAAAGGGAAACAACAUGGUGCCAUGCUUCCUUGGCCACGGUGAAAGGUCAAAGAUGUGCAAUGUCUUCGGAAGGAAUUGCAUCUUGGAUGAUGAAGAGAGCAUUCUCGUUGAAUCGAUGAUCCGCGACUUCCCUAGGGGUGAAGUUGCUUGGGUCAUGCGGAUAGAAGCCUUGCUCAAUGAUUCUUCAAAGAUUAGUAUUGACAUGAUUUAAAUGACGUUUAAAGCGAUAGACCCAAGAGUCAAAAUCCUCAUUUUUCACAAUCUUAGGAGGAGAAACCACAUGAUUUAAAUGAGUGGAGGGAACCGGUCGUCCAUUUGUAAGAGGAGAUUCAACAUGGGAAAAGAUGUCGUUUCCACUUUUACCACUAGACAAAGGAACUUUUGUUGGGGAUCGUAGCAAUAAUUCAAAAUUUUCCUACGUGUCACCAAGAUCAAUCUAGGAGAUACUAGCAACGAGAGAGAGGGAGUGCAUCUUCAUACUCUUGAAGAUCGCUAAGUGGAAGCGUUGCAAGAACGCGGUUGGUGGAGUCGUACACGCAGCGAUUCAGAUCACGGUCGAUUCCGAUCUAAGCGCCGAACAACGGCGCCUCCGCGUUCAACACACGUACAGCCCGGUGACGUCUCCCACGCCUUGAUCCAACAAGGAGAGAGGGAGAGGUUGGGGAAGACUCCGUCCAGCAGUAGCACAACGGCGUGGUGAUGGUGGAGGAGCGCGGUACUCCAGCAGGGCUUCGCCAAGCACUACGAGAGACGAGGAGGGAGAGGGGUAGGGCUGCGCCAAGAGAGAGAUCAAAUCACCUGUGUUGGGCAGCCCCAUACCUCAAGUAUAUAUAGGGGAAGGGGAGGGGCUGCGCCCCCUCUAGGGUUCCCUCCCCAAGGGGGCAGCAGCCCUAGAUCCCAUCUAGGGUGGCGGCUAGAGGGGAGAGGGAGAGAGGGGGGCGCCCUAGGGUGGGCCUUAAGGCCCAUCUGGACCUAGGGUUUGCCCCCUCCCACUCUCCCUGCGCCUUGGGCCUUGGUGGGGGUGCACCAGCCUACCUGGGGCUGGUCCCCUCCCACACUUGGUCCACGCAGCCUUCUGGGGCUGGUGGCCCCACCUGGUGGACCCCCGGGACCCUCCCGGUGGUCCCGGUACGUUACUGAUAGCACCCGAAACUUUUCUGGUGACCAAAAUGGGACUUCCCAUAUAUAAAUCUUUACCUCUGGACCAUUCUGGAACUCCUCGUGAUGUCCGGGAUCUCAUCCGGGACUCCGAACAACAUUCGGUAACCACGUACAUACUUUCCCUAUAACCCUAGCGUCAUCGAACCUUAAGUGUGUAGACCCUACGGGUUCGGGAACCAUGUAGACAUGACCGAGACAACUCUCCGGCCAAUAACCAACAGCGGGAUCUGGAUACCCAUGUUGGCUCCCACAUGUUCCACGAUGAUCUCAUCGGAUGAACCACGAUGUCAAGGAUUCAAUCAACCCCGUAUACAAUUCCCUUUGUCUAUCGGUAUGAUACUUGCCCGAGAUUCAAUCAUCGAUAUCCUGAUACCUCAUUCAAUCUCGUUACCGGCAAGUCUCUUUACUCGUUCCAUAAUACAUCAUCCCGUGAUCAACUCCUUGGUCACAUUGUGCACAUUAUGAUGAUGUCCUACCCAGUGGGCCCAGAGAUACCUCUCCGUUACACGGAGUGACAAAUCCCAGUCUCGAUUCGGGUCAACCCAACAGACACUUUCAGAGAUACCCGCAGUGCACCUUUAUAGCCACCCAGUUACGUUGUGACUUUUGGUACACCCAAAGCAUUCCUACGGUAUCCGGGAGUUGCACAAUCUCAUGGUCUAAGGAAAUGAUACUUGACAUUAGAAAAGCUUUAGCAUACGAACUAUACGAUCUUGUGCUAGGCUUAGGAUUGGGUCUUGUCCAUCACAUCAUUCUCCUAAUGAUGUGAUCCCGUUAUCAACGACAUCCAAUGUCCAUGGUCAGGAAACCGUAACCAUCUAUUGAUCAACGAGCUAGUCAACUAGAGGUUACUAGGGACAUGGUGUUGUCUAUAUAUCCACACAUAUAUCUGAGUUUCCUAUCAAUACAAUUCUAGCAUGGAUAAUAAACGAUUAUCAUGAACAAGGAAAUAUAAUAAUAACUAAUUUAUUAUUGCCUCUAGGGCAUAUUUCCAAAAACUUUAUCACUAGAAGCUUUUCCCUUGUCGGAGUUAGCAUCCGUCACCUUGUUAGUGGGAUCGACCACUUCCAACGGUGCGGUGGACAAUUUAAGACCAUCAAGAAAGUUCUUAAGCAUGCCUUUGACCUUGGCCGUCAUGGAGGUUUUCAAUGUGUCCAAGGCCACAUUGAACUCCUCACGUGAGAUCGAGGUUCCCCCAUCGGCUGUGGACGAGGAUGGAAUCACAUAGGGGUGCUCCUCCUCACCGUCUACGGUGUCAACCAUACUCUUCGGACGACAAAGUCCUUAAUAAAGAGAUGAGGCUCUGUUACCAAUUGAAAGGAUCGAUAUAGUUGACUAGAGGGGGGGUGAAUAGGCAACUAACAAUUUUUAGCUUUUCUUUACCAAUUUAAACUUUGCAUCAAAGUAGGUUGUCUAGAUAUGCAACUAGGUGAGCAACCUAUAUGAUGCAACAACAAGCACACAAGCAAGCAAGGGAUGCAACACAAUAUAAUCUUGCACAAGUAAAGGUACGAGAUAACCAAGAGUGGAGCCGACGAAGACGAGGAUGUGUUACCAAAGUUCCUUCCCUUUGAGAGGAAGUGUGUCUCCGUUGGAGCGGUGUGGAGGCGCAAUGCUCCCCAAGAAGCCACUAGGGCCACCGUAUUCUCCUCACGCCCUCACACAAAGCGAGAUACCGUGAUUCCACUAUUGGUGCCCUUGGAGGCGGUGACCGGACCUUUACAAACAAGGUUGGGGCAAUCUCCACAACUUAAUUGGAGGCUCCCAACGACACCAUGAAGCUUCACCAUAAUGGAAAUUGGCUCCGCGGUGACCUCAACCGUCUAGGGUGCUCAAACACCCAAGAGUAACAAGAUCCACAAUGGAUUAGUGGGGGGAAUCAAAUUUCUCUUGGUGGAAGUGUAGAUCGGGGCUUUCUCAACCAAUCCCUAGAAAAUCAACAAGGUUGAUUGGCUAGGGAGAGAGAUCAGGCAAAAAUGGAGCUUAGAGCAACAAUGGAGCUUAGGGAUGGAAGAGGUAGUCAACUCGGAGAAGAAGACUCCCCUUAUAUAGUGAUAGGACAAAUCCAACCGUUAUCCACUUACCCAGCCUGUGACGCGCGAUAGUACCGCACCAGCCAUGCGGUACUACCACAAGGGCCUGCGAUACUACCACGGGGCACUGCGGUACUACCGCAUGCGCGGCAAGAGCCAGACCGACCCUGAUGCGUUGAAGCAAAGAGCGGUAGAACCGCCGGAGCGGUACUACCGCAAAGCAAGGUUUGUUUACGCUGGAAAGGCACGGACAUAUAAAAAUACAUCUGUGGCUACUUCCGCCGAGUUUCGAUCUGUGCAAAAAUCCGACACGGUACUGCCGCGAACCUGGAGCGGUACUACCGCGUAGGGCGCGGAUGUAAAGAAUUACAUCCGCCCCUACUUCUGCUCGUGCUGUUGUGCCUGGCCCGAGGCCACGGUACUACCGCGCCCUAGGAGUGGUACUACCGCAAUGGACUGCAAUACUACCGCGACCGUAGCCGGUAUUACCGUGAGCCUCUGCGGUACUACCGCUCCCAUGAGCAGUACUACCGCAUGCCCAGCACAACCAACACUAGGAGUCCUUCAUUUUGUAGAGACACGGAUAACUAGAGGAUGCUCCAAAGAGCCAACGGAAAUGUGGUGUAAAAGGAACAGACGUGUACAUGAUGAUUCUACCCAAACCUUUCCAAAGCGGACCCCCUCUUAAUAGUACGACUUUCCUACGACUCAAAUCCACCGAAAAGAAACGUAGGAAAAACUCCGUCUUCACUAGACUCCGAGAGGCAACGAAUCAUCUUGUGCCUGAACAUGAGAUAUCUAAAAUGCUCAAUGCACACGAUUAGUCUGCCAAAACAUUGCCGUCAAUCACCAAAACCACUAAGGGAUAAAUAUGCCCUUACAAUCUUUCCCUUUUUGGUGGAUUGAUGACAAUACGAGAUUUGCACAAAGGGAAAUAAAAUGAAGCAUAGGCAAACCCAACAUCUAUAAGAUAUAGAUGGGCUCCCCCUAGAUAUGUGUUCUCUAGAGAAGUGCUUUGGACUGCACGACACACAUACUAGGAUCAACACUCCCCCUAUAUUUUAUAGACGAGGCAUAUCUUGCAACAAAAUAACUAACACGAAGCAAGGAGGCAAGAUAACAAAUAUGAGCGUAAAGUAACGAGAGCACAAUCUACUAAUCAAACUAGAUAACAUGAUAAGACAAUAAGAUACGUUGAGAACAUAUGUCUUACACCAUAUGAUAGGAUCAACACCCCCCCUUGCGGUACUACCGCAAGGCAGGGUUUGUCUAGGCUGGGAAGGCACGGACAUAUAAAAAAACAUCCGUGGCUACUUCAACUGAGUUUCGAUCUAUGCAAAAAUCCGACACGGUAUUGCCACGAACCUGGAGCGGUACUACCGCGUAGGGCGCGGAUGUAAAAAAUUACAUCCGCCCCUACUUCCGCUCGUGCUGUUGUGCCUGGCCCGAGGCCAUGGUACUACCGCGCCCUGGGAGCGGUACUACCGUGAGCCUCUGCGUACUACCGCUCUCAUGAGCAGUACUACCGCAUACCCAACACAACCAACACUAGGAGUCCCUCAUUUUACAGAGACACAGAUAAACGGAGGAUGCUCCAAAGAGCCAACGGAAAGGUGGUGCAAAAGGAACAGACGUGUACGUAAUGAUUCCACCCAAACAUUUCCAAAGCGGACCCCUCUUAAUAGUACGACUUUCCUACGAUUCAAAUCCACCGAAAAGAAACGUAGGGAAAAGUCUGUCUUCACUAGACUCCAAGGGGCAACGAAUCGUCUUGUCCCUGAACAUGAGAUAUCAAAAAUGUUCAAUGCACACGAUUAGUCCGCAAAAGCAUUGUCGUCAAUCACCAAAACCACUAAGGGAUACAUAUGCCCUUACAACCGACGGGAGGCGGGAGAAACCCUAGCCAAAGGGUCCUCUUUCUUUCAUCCGUCCUCUUUUAAUUUGAUGGAUUUUUUCAUCUCACACAUGAUAAAUCACCGAUGUGAUAAGGAAACCAUCAUGCAAAAAUUUGAUUCGGUGUUAUAAUGAGAAUUAAAGUUAAUAUUUAUCUUGCCAGUGGGCAACAAAAAAAUUGGACAUACUUUGUAAAGAAAAAAAUACAAGCUUAAUAAUAGAAAAAAAUUAUAUUGAAAGUCCAUGCUUUGAAAAGAAAAUGUUUAGAGCACAUCUAGAUGUGUUUUAGUAUUGUACAUUUAAAUGACUCGAUCAAACAUAAAGAAGAAGGAAAAUACCGCCACGAAUCUUCACCUAAAAUCAAUGGCGUAGGACUUAUCUAGAUGUGCUUCAGUAAAACCAUAAAAAAAAUUCACAUUAAAAUGUAUAUAAUAGAAUAUAUGCGAGGAGAAUCUUAUUCCAUCUUCAGAGUGUCGUCACCAUCUCGCCACUCUGAGCAUGGCACAAACCCUAACAAAAAUAAAAAAAUCAUGAAAAAAACGAAGCCCUCCACCGGCAAGGCCAGGAUCCACCGCGUCUCCAUGACCCUAAGACCAUAGGAGACGAGAUAAGCGAUGGUGGCACCACCGGGAGGCGGGAGAAACCCUAGCUAGAGGGUCCUCUUUCUUCCAUCAAUCCUCUCUUAAUUCGAUGGAUUUUUUUCGUCUCACACAUGAUAAAUCACCCCGUGAUAAGGAAACCAUCUUGCAGAAAUUUGAUUCGACGUUAUAAUGAUAAUUAAAGUUAAUAUUUAUCCUGCCAGAGGGCAACAUAAAAAUUGGACAUACUUUGUAAAGAAAAAAAUACAUGCUUAAUAGAUAAAAAUUAUAGUGAAAGUCCCUGGUUUGAAAAGAAAAGGCAUGUUUAGGGCACAUUUAGAUGUGCCUUAGUAUUGUACAUUUAAACGACUCAAUCAAACAUAAAGAAGAACAAAAAAUACCCAGAUGAAUCUCCACCUAAAAUCAAUGACCUAUGACUUAUAUGUGCAAUGUAGGGCACAUCCAGAUGUGCUUUGCUUUAGCGAAACCAUAAAAAAAUCACAUUAAAAUGUAUAGUAGAAAAUAUUAAAAAGUUAGUGCACAGAUUACUUCUUGCUCCCCCACAAAUGUUCUUGGGUAACAGGCCCCCGAGCCACAAGGCCCAGCAAGAUCUGUGACUAACUUUUGCUCCCCCACAAAUGAGCUUGGGUGACAGGCUAACGCGACAAAGCCCAGCCACAGUGUUGCAAGAGCUGUCCUUUUAUUCCCGUGUAUGCGAACUAAAUAAGGCGAGGUGGGACUAAAAGUUGUGUCUGCCAACAAAUUCAAGGUACUAACGGGCUAAACAAACAACAGCUUCUCCAAACUGAAAGCCCAAGUAAAGAAUCUCGCGGCGUGACGGCCCAACGACGACGACGCGGUAAAACGGGGAGGCAAACGCCAAGAGAAGGCUUCCUCCCAAAGCCUUCCAAGCCAGACACACGGCCGCCGCAGCCGAGAUGGCCGCCGGAGAUGCCACCCACGCGCCGCCGGCCGCGGAGGCGCAGUCUCUGGUGGAUUCGUUCUGCGCAGUCACCUCGGCGACCCCCGACGAGGCGACCUUCUUCCUCGAGGGCCACAACUGGGCCCUCGAGGCCGCCGUCCGCUCCUUCUACGACAACACGGAAGUCGACGCCGAUGGCCCCGAUCCGGCACCCCAGCCCCCGCCAGCCGGUUCGCCUCCGUGCUCCUCACCACGCGCCACGGCACCAUCGACGACCUCCUUCACACCGGCGAGCUCGCGGUAAGCCUCGAUUGCCUGAUUUCUCCACUCUCUUAGGCUCGUUUCUUACUGUGAUGUUUGUGUUCAGUUAGGCAAAAUUGGGGAUCGCAAUCAACUUGACACUAUCUUAUCUCAGCUCAAUUUAGUCCGGACCAAUAACUUUUUAUGUUAAAAAAAUUAAGCAAGUUGGAACUGCGUAGAAUCGAUCAACCUGAUCUAUACUGGAUUUAAGUGCUGAAUUUUACUGGAUUCAGUUGCCUUCAUAGUUACACUUUGACUUCUCGGAAAAGAAAAAAAACACUUGCUCGGUGGUUUCUUGACAGGGUCCGUUGGCCUAGAUGAGAUUAUCUAGAAAUCCAAUAAUUGGGCUGGCUGACAUCUAUAAUUAAGUGAUCUCGAGUAGUAUCAUGUGAGAAACAGCAAAGCUAGUUAGGUGUGACGUGAUUCACUCUGCUGGGUGCUGGCGAUCAAUCUGUCGCUGGGCCUGAAAAUGGGACUUCAUUGCUAAUUGGGGCGCCAUCGUUGUAAAGGUACAAGUAGGGCCAUGAAUCAGUGAUAGUGCCUUAUUGAGAUCACAAACCAAAGGGGGUUGGAACAGUGUAUAUAAGGUGUAGAGCUCCUGUAGUUUUCAGAUUUUGUCAUAAUCGCAAACAGUGACCUCUAUACUGUAUUAACAAAUAUAACAUGAUUACAAUUCAAAAAAAAAUCUAAUAUGGUUAGAAGUUCUGGUUUCAGGGGCACUUCAGCUAUUUUGGAAGCACCACAGUAUUUAGGCCAACAUAAGCUGAUAUUCAGAAGAAUCACACUUUAUCUGAGAUUAUCUAGAAAUCCAAUAAUUGGGCUGGCUGACAUCUUUAAUUAAGUGAUCUGGAGUAGCAUCAUGUGAGAAACAGCAAAGCUAGCAAGGUGUGACGUGAUUCACUCUGCUGGCCACUGAUCUGUCGAUGGGCCUGAAAAUGGCACUUCAUUCAUUUCUGAAUGCUAAUUUGUGCGGCAUCUUUCAAAGGUGUGAGUAGGGCCAUGAAUCAGUGAUCUUAUUGGAAUCUCAAACCGAAGGGGGUUGGAACUGUGUAUAGGAGGUGCAGAGGUCCUUUAGUUUCAGAUCUUUUCAUAGUCGCAAACAGCGACCUAUGUGACAUUAACAAAUCUAGCAGAUCAUUACAAGUUCUAGUUUCAGUGUUACUUGCUUCGGCUAUUUGGCAGCACUACUGUAUAGGAUAAGAUGCUACUUAGGAGCAGCUAAACUCAAAACAGAUAUAUGUGGUAAACUUACGGCAUUUUGAACUGAAAAACGGUGAAAGAAUUAAGAAUUUUCGGACACAUGUUACUUACAUUGUCUCAGCUCUGCAUACUUGGCAACAUUUCCAAAUACUGGUCCUAAUGUAUCUUCAUGUUUAAUUCUGCAGCUAUGUUCAGUGGUGCUAAUGUCCGGGCUCAUCAUAAUCCUGAGCAGCGCCGCCAAGAUCACUCACCAGGUGCAGGCCCUCAUGGGCCAGACCACCAAGUGGCACGCCUGCUGCACCAUCGAGCCGGUCCCGGACGACGAGAUAGAUCCGGGAUCCAACCAGAACUCCAUGCUGGAGGAGUACCCCGAGCCCGAGGACGAGAGCGACUGUGAGUCCAGCGAGGAGACCGGCGACGAGGACAUGGUGGAGAACACCAAGUUCCUCCAGCCUCACAUGCACGUGAUCUCCUUCCAGAAGAGGCAGGCACUAGGUACGUAUGAUCAUCGACAGUUAUCAUACAUUUCGUCGAAUCUUGGGGCUGAUGGAAAACGCUGUUGCAGUGACCUUCCUGGAGAACAACAACGCCGGCAUCACCGUCUUCGGGUUCACGCUGGACCGGUCGUACCUCCACACGAUAUUCAUGCUCGAGUGGACGUUCUUCCUGUGGCUGCUGGGGAAAACAGUCGGCUUCUCGUGAAGACGAGGGACUGUAUGCACCAAGGUUCUAUUCUGUUCCAUGUUUUUUUGCUGUUGUGCUCCGUUUGAUCCUUGUGUGAAAAGAGAAGGAGCAGGGUUUUUUGUGUGCGCGUGCGGGUGGCACGUGAGUGGUGUGCACUUGUUCGUGUGUGUAUGCUAGCAGCGAUUUGGUAUGCUGAUGAUCCUGUAAAUUAUCAUGGGUUGAUUGCAUGUGGAUGUAAGGUCUAUGUACAGUGAUUAGAGCAUCUCGAUCUAGCAGACCUCGUAAAAGGGCCGAACCCGUAUAAUUCCGGCGAGUAUACGGGUUCGGCCUGUUUUUCUGGCCAGAGUAGACACCGUAUCCGCGGCCCGGCCCUAAAAAAUUUACUGUGGCCCGCAAAAAGUCUCUCCCCACCACUAUAUAUGCCCCANNNNNNNNNNNNNNNNNNNNNNNNNNNNNNNNNNNNNNNNNNNNNNNNNNNNNNNNNNNNNNNNNNNNNNNNNNNNNNNNNNNNNNNNNNNNNNNNNNNNNNNNNNNNNNNNNNNNNNNNNNNNNNNNNNNNNNNNNNNNNNNNNNNNNNNNNNNNNNNNNNNNNNNNNNNNNNNNNNNNNNNNNNNNNNNNNNNNNNNNNNNNNNNNNNNNNNNNNNNNNNNNNNNNNNNNNNNNNNNNNNNNNNNNNNNNNNNNNNNNNNNNNNNNNNNNNNNNNNNNNNNNNNNNNNNNNNNNNNNNNNNNNNNNNNNNNNNNNNNNNNNNNNNNNNNNNNNNNNNNNNNNNNNNNNNNNNNNNNNNNNNNNNNNNNNNNNNNNNNNNNNNNNNNNNNNNNNNNNNNNNNNNNNNNNNNNNNNNNNNNNNNNNNNNNNNNNNNNNNNNNNNNNNNNNNNNNNNNNNNNNNNNNNNNNNNNNNNNNNNNNNNNNNNNNNNNNNNNNNNNNNNNNNNNNNNNNNNNNNNNNNNNNNNNNNNNNNNNNNNNNNNNNNNNNNNNNNNNNNNNNNNNNNNNNNNNNNNNNNNNNNNNNNNNNNNNNNNNNNNNNNNNNNNNNNNNNNNNNNNNNNNNNNNNNNNNNNNNNNNNNNNNNNNNNNNNNNNNNNNNNNNNNNNNNNNNNNNNNNNNNNNNNNNNNNNNNNNNNNNNNNNNNNNNNNNNNNNNNNNNNNNNNNNNNNNNNNNNNNNNNNNNNNNNNNNNNNNNNNNNNNNNNNNNNNNNNNNNNNNNNNNNGGGAGCUCUGGGGAUGACGCAGAGCGUCGCGCCAGAUCCGACGCCGCACGCAAGCGGGGCGCACGGAGGUGGCUCAACCGCGGUAGCCGGUCGCCGCCAACGUUUGAACGCCGCGAGCUGGUCGAGUUCGAGCGCAAGCUUGCCCGCCGCCACCACGCCUCAUUCGGCUCCUCUGCCGCAGAGAGCUUGUCCGCGGGCGCCUCGAGCUCGUGGCUCAGUCCGAUGAAGAGAGAGCCGGAGGAACUCGGGCCGCUCGCCGUCAAGCUCGAGGCCGAGGCGCCGCCGCGUCGAGGAGUGAUUGACCCCAAGGACUACCUCCCCCCGGGGCAGGAGGAGCACCUAGAGCGUGUCGUCAUGGAGCGGUCGGCGAGGGAGCGGGAGGAGGGCGAAGUGCGCCGCCGACGCGAGCUCGAGUACGAGCAGAUGUUCCCCAGACGGGUGUUGCGGCGUUGCAGGUCCGCCUCCAUGAAGGUGGAGCAAGCCAAGUUCUUCAUCGACCUCGACCCCUCCGACGAGGACUUAGCUCCUCCGGCUCCUCCGCCGUGCCGUCGCUGCCGCGAGCUCAUCGAUUUUUGGUAUCUAGGCUCGGGCCCACAGAUUCCCCCACUAGUAUGAUCAAUGUAGAUGAACUAAUGUAUGAUCAAUGUCGUUGCAAGUUUCUCUGGCGAAUGCUUUUCUUAAAAUUUUACAGUUUCAUAUACGAGGUCUGAUCUGCAGCGCACGAAUUCAAUCCGCAAAUCUCAUCUGUCUGUAAACACAAUUUGCGGGUCGGCAUUAUACGAGGUCUGCUAGAGAUGCUCUUAGAUGGGUUGUCAGGACCCCGACUCAAUGCCACAUAGAUCUAGCAUGUAACCCUUCAUAUCACUUUGCGGCCUCACGCACGGUAUUCCCACGGGUGUCGCCUUACCUUUACCCGGGACCGUUUGCGCCUUUUGGCACACAUAUAUGACAGUGUCGCUAGCAUCCAUAUGAUAAGGAGCCCGGGCUGACAUGGCUAGUCGUAAACCUAAAGUGGCACAGACUUACAGGGACAGGCAUCCAUGACCCAGCAUCGAACGUGUCGGUCAUCAACGAGUGAAUCCAGGUUGUAGCACUGGGCUAGCAGGACUCCGGUGAACCGGGCUGUAGCGGGCUAACAGGACUCCGGUAUUCAUCGCGUGACAUUUCCCCGAAGGGACAGACACAGGAACGAAGAAGGACACAUGCCAGCCAGCCUAAGUGUUCCGGAGCAGUAGCAAGCUACCAUGGCUCGGUGGAAACACUAGGAGACAUUUCCCGAUAAGAGAGGCUACUAAAGAUAAACAACUAGAUAGUCAGAUCCCACACAUACCAAGCAUUUCAAUAACAUACACACAAUAUGCUCGAUAUGUGCAACCACAACAUGGCAUCACAACAUGACUCUACGACUCAAGUACUUUAUUCAAUAGGCUCCGAGGAGCGAGAUAUUACAAACAGGGGUCUCAUGACCCAACAAUCAGAGCAUACAAAUCAAAGCACAAGCGGAAGCUAUCAUGUCUGGGUACAGACAUCUAUAACUGAAAAAGGCUGAGAAGCCUGACUAUCUACCAGAUCCUGCCGGGGCACAAGAUCGUAGCUGAGGUAACAAGCUAAAGGUCGAAGUCCACGUGGAACUACUAGUGAGACUGAAGUCUCUCUGCAAAAACAUAAAUUAAGCAACGUGAGUACAAAUGUACCCAGCAAGACUUACAUCAGAUCUAUCUACAUAUGCAUCAUUAUCAACAAAGGGGGUGGUGGGGUUUAACUGCAGCAAGCCAGCUUUGACUCGGUGGCUAUCCUAAACUACGACUGCAAGCGACUCUUUUGAGGUGGCGCACACGAGUCCACAUAUUCACCAUAUCAAUACACCACUAUGGAUCCGCUCCCGUCUCCCUGCGAGAAGGCCAUCCAUAGCACUCACGCUUAUCUUGCGUAUUUUAGAGUAUCCACUUUCACUUGUCUAUGAACUGAUAUAAGCAACCCAGAAGUCCUUUUCCACGGACACGGCUAUUCGAAUAGAUCAUAUUAACCCUGCAGGGGUGUACUUCUUCACACACGCUCUCACCACUUACCGCCGUUUACACGACAUGUACUCGGCAACCUUCAAGCGGAAGCCCAACGUGGGUGUCGGCCACGGCCUACCUAAACACUCAAGUCUCUAGUCCAGGUUUAUCGCCUAUUCGGGUUCCAUCCAUGAGGAGAUCCGGCCGGAGUUUCGCUCACAGCCCCAAACGAUGUGAACAGGGUUCCCGAGACACCAAACGGGCGCCCGGUACACCGUGCCACGUGCCUACCGCAUCACAGCCCACCCCUACGGUCAGCGCUGCCCACGGCCUCCAGCAUACUACAAACACCAGAAACUACUUGCAACUCCUGGACAGAGGACAAGGGUGGUCAAGAAGCCGAGAGGGUCCAUUGGUUUCGGGCCCAAUGCGUGGUAGUAGCUGAAUCAUGGAUCACAAACACAGAACUCAGUUCCUGAGGACGGCUGCAAUGAGACAACCCACCAUGUACUCCUACAUGGCCUCUCACCGCUACCUUUACCAAAUCGUCUUCACACACUUAGCUCACACACAGUAGGACAUGUUCACACGCCUCUGAUUCAUCCCCGAUGAAUCAGACCUGACUCAACUCUAAGCAGUAGCAGGCAUGACAAACAAACAUGAAGGAGUAGGCACAACAGGGCUCAAACAACUCCUACUCAUGCUAGUGGGUUUCAUCUAAUUACUGUGGAAUGACAGGUCAUGCAGAGGAUAAAGGGGUUCAGCUACCGCAGCAAGUAACAGAUGAAUCGAUGUUGUCCUAAUGCAGUAAAAGAGAGCAGGAGCGAGAGAGUGGGAUUUUAUCGGAAUGAACAAGGGGGUUUUGCUUGCCUGGCACUUCUGAAGAUAACAUUGAGUCUUCAUUAGUGUCAACGAUCACAUCAUCGGUAUCACGUCUAUCGAGAGGGGACAAAUACCGGCAACACAGAAGGGAACACAAUCAAUGCAAUGCACAAUAUGAUGCAUGAUCAUGACAUGGCAAAAUGAAUGCGUUUUGGGCUAAUGCAACUAGCAACAGAUUAAAUAAAGUUGGUUUGAAUAUAAUAUUCAAAUUCAAACUCCAUAUGUGAUUAUUCAAAUGCCAUUUAAUUGAUUUGUGCUAAACAGCAGCUAUAAGUUGUUCUAACAUGCAUGAAAAUGGUACAGAUGGAUUCCUUGAAUUUUUCUGAUAAUUUUUCAUAUAUAAUUUAUUUAAUUUGGAGUUACGGUUAAUUUUCUAUGAUUUAUUGAAGUUUUAGGCAUUUUCUGGAAUUUCCUGAAUAAUAUAAAAUAAACUAAAUUCCAGAAAAUGAAUAUUGCGUCAGCAUGACCUCAUAGUGACGUCAGCAGGUCAACGGGCGUCGUCCAGGUCAAACUGACCUGUGGGCCCUACGUGUCAGUGUCUGGACUAAUUAACCUAAUUAAAAUUAACCCUAACUAACUUAGUUAGCCGGGCGGGGCCCGCAUGUCAGUGAGUCAGUGGCUUAACUAAAUUCGUUAUUAAAUUAACCAAAAGUUAGCAGGGGACGGGCCCACACGUCGGUGACCCAGGGGGGUCAAAUCCCUGGUCAACCGGGCUAAUCCACCGGCGUCUAACCGCCGGCAACGACCAGACGCGGCGGUGGCUCGCCGGAAUGGCUGCUCCGGCGCCCAUUCGACGCGCGGAGGGGUUCUACAGGGAGCUCGAGCUCGUGCGCAUCCAAUGGAGCAAACCCGAGGAGCUGGGAUGGCCUGAGUCGACGGCGGCGAGCUCCAAGGCGACGGCCGGAGUUCGGGCACCUGCGGGUUUGGCGUUGUGGUGCUCGGGAGGGGAAGCUGGUUGGUGUGUUGGGCUCCUGGGGGCUUUAUGAGCACGGUGAAGCACUCCGUCGUGGUCAUGCGCGGCUAUGGCCACGGCUGCGCCAUGGCCGGCGGCGAGAAGCUCUCGGCCGCGACGGCAUCGGUGUUAGAGGAAGAGAUCGGGCCAGGGAAGAGGGGGAAACAGCACAGGAGCUCACAGCGGGUGCAGCGGUGGCCUCGGCGAGCUCGGGGAGGCACCGGAGCGAGCGAAGCAUCGAGGGGGAUCUCCGGCGGCCGAGGUCGGAAACGGCGGCACUGGCAAGGCUUCAGGGCGUCCGGCGUUGCGUAGCUCAGCGAGGAGGUCGAGGACGAUGCGUCAGAGCUUAUGGAACUGGCGGAGGGGCGAGGGAGGGCUGGUGGCUGCGGCUAUAGCGAACGGCGGCGACGGUCGCUCUCGGGUGCGUGCGAGAGAAAGAAUAGAGGAGGAGAUGGGGACGAGGGAGUGAGCGGGAGGGUUCCAGGGGUCGAGGCGGCGCCGAGGAGAAGGCGCGAGGCGUCAUGGUGGCCUCAGGCGAAGCAGACGAGCAGGGUGGUGGCGUGGCGAGCUCGGGCGCGUGCGCCGAGUCUCUCCUCUGCCUACUGGCGCGAGGAGGAAGGCGACAGGGAGGAGGAGGUGGGCUGGGCCGCACAGUGCUGGACCAGCACAGGAGCUGGGCCGGCUCUGGUGGGCUGCACGGGUAAGGCCAGAUAGGCUUUGCUCUUUUUAUUUCUUUUUCUUCUGUUUUGUUUUUAUUUAAUCUUUUGCCACUGUUUUGAAAUAAGACAAAUUCAAAGACAGUGACAAAAUUCCCCUGAACAUUUUAUUUAGCACAAUGGAAUUAUACCAAAGCACAUAAAAAUGUUUCAGUUAUUUGAACAUAUAUUCAGUAAUAUUUGGAUAUAAGUUCAAAUUCAAAAUAGUAUUGAUUUAAAUUCAAAGUCUCAAAAUAAAUCCUUUUAAAAUGUUCAAUAUUUUUGGUUUGGAUCAAAACCCUUGCCAAAAAUAUUAAACAUCUAAGAAGAACAUUUUGGAACAAUGAAUGAGAUUUUAGGGUUUUUGCCCUUCUUUUAUUUAGGGUUUUUGAGGCUUCUGAAUUCCUCAGUUCAAGUUUUAAAAAUUUACACAUGAUGCACAGAUGGAAGCAAGCACAGGACAGGCCAGAGCUAGGGAUGUGACAUGGGUGCUGUAGAGAUAGCCUCGUGCAUCGCAGGUUGGCAUUGCAGGUUUAUAAUCUCGGGUUGUAACUUGUAAGCCAGCAUCAGUUGUAGAGCAGGUGUGUCAAAAGAAAAACUCUUUCCUUUAUUUAUUUUUGAACCGAAAACCGUAGAACAAUUGUUCUAUGGUAUAUUUUCAUUAAAAUAAAAUAAAAGUAUGUUACGAGGGGAUCAAAAGAUCCCUAAAUACAAGGAAAACUUUGUCAAUUCCUGCUCUUGGAAGCAUUAGAGCUGAUUUAAAACAUGUUAUCUAGCCACUGUUUGAAGCUUUGAAAGUGCUUCGCCUUUAGCUUGUGCUGUAGGAGCUUCUGAUCUUGCUUGAGGUGAAAACGCCAAAAAUGUACCGUAUGUGGCAGACCUCUGAAAACUUUCCCAUUUCUCUUAUUCCAAGUAUUCCAGCAUCCAAGAAUAACUAUUUCUGUGGCAAAUUGUUGUGGAAGUUUUUCUAUCGCCAGUAGUGUUUCCUCGUAUAUUGAAGUACCUCUUGCCUUAUGGGAAUUAGAGUGUUCCAACAAUCCUGUGCAAAAUUACAGUCCCAAAGCAGGUGAAGGGUUGUCUCUUCAGCAUUCUGAUUGUAGUUUCGGCAGUGAGGAUUGUUCAGUUGCAUGCCUUUUCUCUGUAGGAGUGAUCUGGUGUUGAUUCUACUGUGGGCUACUAACCAGAAAAAUAUCUUAUGUCUGAGUCUGCUAGAGCUCUUUCAAGUCAACUUGAAGAUAGGGUGUACCUCCUCAUUACCCAUUAGGUGUUUGCACAUGUGCAUUGAAGAGUAUUUAUUUUGAAGGCCAUUGCAAGUCCAUUUAUCCUUCCCAUAUCUGUCCGGAGAGGGGAUAAUAUCCCCCAAGUUGAAUGAAUUGAUUGUAGGCUGUGUUGGAUAAAGGAGUGUGGAACUGUUCAAUCCAGCUUCCAGAGUCACAAAAUUCUUGGACAGACAAGGAGCCCCUAAUAGCAAAAGAGUGCAGCUCUCGGAAAUUUUGUUCCAAUAUAUCUCCUUCCUCUUUCCUUUAUUUUGGUUCUACCGGCCUUUUGUUAUCCUCAAGAAAAUGAUUUGUGCUCCAUAUAUCGAUAUGAAUCCUAUGGGAUAUGAUGGUAUUUCAUAUUCAGUACAAAUAUAAUAGUCGAAGCAUUGCAAUGCAGGUGAGGGUGGUACAUCUAAUAGUGCUUUUUUUGUGUGUGUUAGUGUUGCCUGUGUGCAUCCUAACUAUGCAGAGGCCAGAUAUGUACUCAUGCUUGUAUCCACUUGGUGCUUCAUUUUUAAGUUAUAAAAUUCAUCCGUUGUUGAAAAAAGAAUCAAAGCUCACUCAAAGUGAUGCUACGGAUUGGCCCACUUUCCAGUAUCUGCAUAUGGCUCUUUCUGUAUAAUGUGUCCUCGUGGCGAUUGAUGGGCGCAUCCAUAUCCCGUUUGAGAGCUCCUAUGCAACGCUUUAGGCGCCAAAAAGGAUAGCUGGCGCUUGCUAGCUUUCUUCACAGGCCGCAGCCCAAUAAGGCCACCUCCCUCUCGCGCCUGCUCGGUUUAUGAAGUUUGCUGGUUUUCUUUCGUUAUUACUUAUAGUACGACCUUUCCCUAAAAGAAACUUACAGUAUGAUCUAGUGUACUACUUCGUGUGUCCCGACUGCGACUAGCAAGUCGGGACGGAGGGAGAACUUGCCUCAAAAAGAAAAUAAAAACUACAGUCCUACAUGGCCAGCGGUUUUUAUCUACUAUACCACAUGGCCAGCGGUUUUCAAAAUAUAUGAAUAAAACUUCAUGAAUCGAGAAAAAGUUUAUGGUUUGAAAAAAGUCAUUUUUAGUUUUUUUUUAAUUUAAAAGAAAUCAUGAAAUUUUAAUAUAUAAUCAUGAAUUUCAAAUAAGUUCAUGACAUUUAAAAAAGUUCGUAAAUACUGAAAAAUUCAUAGAUUUUGAAACAAUGUAAGCGGAUUCGGAAGAAGUUCACUAAUUUAAUAAAGUGCUAGAUUUGAAAAUAGUUCAUGAAUUUCGGAAAAGAAGUUCAUGAAUUCAAAAAAAAUCAUGAGUCUGAAAAAACUUCACCAAUUUUUAAUAAGUGUGUGGACUUCAAAAUGUUAACAAUAUUUGAAAAUUAGUUUACGAAUUUUACAAGAUUUCAAUUUUUUUUUGGAAAACUUCAUGAAAAUUGGAAAAUUUUCAUAUUUUUUAGAUAAAAUCACAAAUUUGAAAAAACUUCACGGGUUUUUAGAAACUUCAUAAAAACUAAAAUGAAUUUGUGAAUUUGAAAAACAUUCACGCAUUUGACAAAAGUUCACGAAUUUGAAAAAGCUCACGAAUUGAAGAAAUAGUUUAUGAUUGAAAAAAAGUUCACAGAUUUUGAAAAUGGGAAAUAAAGAAAAAGGAAAAAAAGGAAGAAAAACUGGCCGAAACAAAACCGAAAAACAUGUGUCUUCUAGGCGCAAAACAUGAAACAAAAGAAGUAUUAUUAGGCACAAUAGGUGAGUCGUCUGUGUCAGUUACUAUGUUCGGAAGGAAACCUUGAGGUUCCUCCUUUGAAUCUCACUACCUGCAACAUUUUUGUACAUUCAAUAAAAUGGGCCAAGCCCAGGAUGCAAGGGGGUGUGCAUCGGUUUGUUGAGUUGCCUUUAGGCGUCGGGGUCUCGUUUGUAGGGAGACCGUGAGAUGGGCCGGCCUACGCGCGUGCGAUGCCAGAACCCCCCUUGUCUUUUCUUUUUCUUUUUAACUCUUAUACUCCCAAAUGUUCUAAAAAUAUAUUUAAAAAAUAAUGCGUCAAAAAUUGAAAAAUGUAAAUCAAACAUGGGAAAUGAUUAGCUUCAACCGACUGAUCUUUCAUUGCCCAUCCGCUUCCUCACGCUUGCGACGCGUGUCCUUAUGGGACCAGUUCGUUCUUAUCCUCACGCCAAUGUCCACGCCUCUCAUUCCUGAAGCUUCUCGGUGGGAUCGUUUUCUUCUCCUUUCGUCCACCCCGUCUGCUUCCAUCUCCCCCCACUCUCUCUCCUCGAGCCGGCGCUGCUCAUCCAUCUCUCUCAUCUCCCCUCUCCUCCAUACUAUGCUGCUGCAUCGGGGACAAGCCUCAUGCAUGGGAAAUACCUCGUUGACCAGAUCCAUUGCAUGCCUACUUCAAGGCUCCGGCGUUGUAGGCUAGGCCCCAGAUGUUACAUGCCUGUGUUACUCACCAUCGAGAUUUGGAUGAAAUUUACUACAUGAUACUACAAGUGCUUCAGGCGGAAUUUUCGCAACAAAGGUCUUGUUGCAGGAAUAUGGAGAAGAGGUCGCAGAUGAUGUAAUUUUUGGAACAAGGAAUACAUAGAAGUUUUUUUUUGCAACAAUGGUCUUGUUGCAAGAGUGCAUAGAUGAGGCCGGAGAUGUUGUUGCAAUUUUUGCAACACGGAUCUUGUUACAGGAAUCUAGGAAAGAUGCCGGAGAUAUUCUUGCAAUUUUUGCAACAAUGAUCUUGUUGCAGGAAUACGACAAAGGGAACAAGGAUUACUUGCCCCCGCGUGCCGGCGGCAGCUGAUUUUUUGUGGUGGUUGGGGGCGACAUCAUUCUGGGCGCAACUCUGUCGGGGACGGUGGACAAGGGAGUCUGUUUCUGAAACAGAACCGUUGUCGCGGAAAUUAAAGAGGGAUCAGCCGGCGCGAGGUGGUUACAUCGAACGGCUGUCAGCGCUCUGAUCCAACGGUUGUCCAACCGGCGGAUCAUUAUAACAUGUCCGCCGGCCGACGCCUAGCGUCGCCCAUCAAACAUUGGAAAUAUGUUAAAUACGUGUAGAAACAAAUGUUUAUCAUGUAUACAAAUAAUAUACAAUGUGUAUUUAAAAAGUUGAUAUGUAUUAAAAAAUGUCAAACGAGCAUUUAAAAAUGUUAAUAAAGAAUUUCAAAGACGUUAGUCAAGCAUUUAAAUAAUUCUAAAUGCAUAUAGAAAAAAUGUUUGUCAUGUAAUGAAAAUGUAUUAAAAAUAGUGUUUAUGAGAAAAUACUUUAUCAUGCACUAAAAAUGUUAAAUGUGUAUAGAAAAUGUUUCUGAUGUACAAUAAAAAUGUUCAACCGACAUGAAAUAAAAGUAGACAUAAAAAACCAUAUAUUUUAAAAAUGCUAACUAUGUCUUUACAAAAUGUUAAACAUGUAUAUGAAAAUGUACACUAUGUGUGAAAAACAUAUUUAUUGCCAAUAAAAAUGUUCACUAGUUACUUGAAAAAUGUUUACCUUGUAUUCAAAAAGUAAAACUUAUAUUUUCAAAACAUACAUCUUGUACCGAAAAAUGUUCAACGUGUAUCAACAUAAUGUUUCACGUCUACACUGAAAAUUACAUUGUGUACUGGAAAAAAGUAGAUAUGUGUUGAACAAAGAAAUAACCAAUAAAAAAUUGAGGAAGAAACAAGGAAAACUAAUGAAAACCGAAAAAUAAGCAAAAGAACAGAAGAAAACCACUGAAAAAGAAUGCAAACAUCAAAACCAAAGAAAAAACCAAGAAAAAAUGCGAAGGGAAAAACCAAAGGAGAAUAUAUAAUAAAAGGAAGUCCAUGAAAACAGAUAAAAAAACAGAGUAAACCGGAAGAAAUUAUAGAAAAGGAAAGAAACAAAAACAGUUAAACCCAAAAAAAAAGAACAUAGAAAACAGCGAGAAAAUAAACAAAACAGAAAAAUACAACCAUAGAAAACCUAACCAAAAACCAGUACAACGAUUUCCCAAGCGAGCGAGGAAAAGAAACGAGCAAACCGCUAAAUGAGUCGGCCCAGAAACAAAGCGCGAGGGAGUUUAUUCAAGCGAGCAGAGCAUAUAUCUCGCUAUAACCAAGAUAUAGCUCUUGCGGCAAUUGAUGCCCUUUUUUCUUCGCUAGUGUGACCCCCACUGAAUUAUUAUAUUUUUUGAAAUCAUCCAUGCAAUGUCCCAAAUAUUGAUCCAUAUGCUUACGUUUAAUUCUAUUGUUGCUCUCUUUAAAUUUACUUCGACUUGGCAACUGUUGGGUAUUUUUGUUACUAUGAUACUGCUUUGCCACAUACAUCACUUCUUUCAAACAAGCAUUUGUUUCAGAUGUGGUUGAAUUGACAACAUAAUUGCCAACUGCUAAAGUUUUUAAAUACUCUUUGGCUCUUUUGUGUCGAGUCAAUAAAUUUGUGUUGUGACCCCCUACGUUUGUGGAUCAUCAUCUAUACAUUAUUGCAUCAAUAACAAGUGAGCCACUCAUGUUUUGUUGGAAUUCCAAAAUGCAUAGUUUUGUAUUUAUUGACAAAAUGAUUGUGAAACUACUUAAAAUGGGCUAUUUCUUUAUAUUUUUACCCAGCUUAGUUUUUAAAGAAAUACUUGUACUUAUAGGAUGGUGAGCAUUUCCAAAAUCUGGAGUUGCCCUAGCAUCUUGAGCAAUAUUCCCUCCUUUNNNNNNNNNNNNNNNNNNNNNNNNNNNNNNNNNNNNNNNNNNNNNNNNNNNNNNNNNNNNNNNNNNNNNNNNNNNNNNNNNNNNNNNNNNNNNNNNNNNNNNNNNNNNNNNNNNNNNNNNNNNNNNNNNNNNNNNNNNNNNNNNNNNNNNNNNNNNNNNNNNNNNNNNNNNNNNNNNNNNNNNNNNNNNNNNNNNNNNNNNNNNNNNNNNNNNNNNNNNNNNNNNNNNNNNNNNNNNNNNNNNNNNNNNNNNNNNNNNNNNNNNNNNNNNNNNNNNNNNNNNNNNNNNNNNNNNNNNNNNNNNNNNNNNNNNNNNNNNNNNNNNNNNNNNNNNNNNNNNNNNNNNNNNNNNNNNNNNNNNNNNNNNNNNNNNNNNNNNNNNNNNNNNNNNNNNNNNNNNNNNNNNNNNNNNNNNNNNNNNNNNNNNNNNNNNNNNNNNNNNNNNNNNNNNNNNNNNNNNNNNNNNNNNNNNNNNNNNNNNNNNNNNNNNNNNNNNNNNNNNNNNNNNNNNNNNNNNNNNNNNNNNNNNNNNNNNNNNNNNNNNNNNNNNNNNNNNNNNNNNNNNNNNNNNNNNNNNNNNNNNNNNNNNNNNNNNNNNNNNNNNNNNNNNNNNNNNNNNNNNNNNNNNNNNNNNNNNNNNNNNNNNNNNNNNNNNNNNNNNNNNNNNNNNNNNNNNNNNNNNNNNNNNNNNNNNNNNNNNNNNNNNNNNNNNNNNNNNNNNNNNNNNNNNNNNNNNNNNNNNNNNNNNNNNNNNNNNNNNNNNNNNNNNNNNNNNNNNNNNNNNNNNNNNNNNNNNNNNNNNNNNNNNNNNNNNNNNNNNNNNNNNNNNNNNNNNNNNNNNNNNNNNNNNNNNNNNNNNNNNNNNNNNNNNNNNNNNNNNNNNNNNNNNNNNNNNNNNNNNNNNNNNNNNNNNNNNNNNNNNNNNNNNNNNNNNNNNNNNNNNNNNNNNNNNNNNNNNNNNNNNNNNNNNNNNNNNNNNNNNNNNNNNNNNNNNNNNNNNNNNNNNNNNNNNNNNNNNNNNNNNNNNNNNNNNNNNNNNNNNNNNNNNNNNNNNNNNNNNNNNNNNNNNNNNNNNNNNNNAAAUAUAAGAAAUGCACCUUACAUUUUGAAAUUUUAUCAAAAAACAAAUACACCUUAUAUAAAUGAACGGAGGGACUAGGUAACAAGGCAAAAUGUGUUGUAACCCAUCCAGUGUAAACUGAAUUGCAUGACACACAUCUGGGACCAAAGUUCCUUUCUGUGUGCCACAUCGAAGCAUCACAAGUCAAAUCAAUAUAGUGUAUUACUCCAAGUAAAAAAAUGAAUUACUCACUAGGUUCUCCAGAUUAAAGCUCCAUGCUAAAUCAAGCAAGCGAAAAGUGUGGAACCUAAGAACUUAAAGCGUGGAGGUCAAACAAGAUGCCUAGAUUGCUCGUCCUCUCUUAAUUCCUUUUUUUUGCGUGAAAUCUUCUGAUCUAUUCAUAAAUUGAAAAGGUAGUAUAAAGAACACCGGAAGUAAAAAAUACAUCCAGGUCUGUAGAUCGCCUAGCGACGACCACAAUCACUGGAGCGAGCCGCGCCGCCGUCUUCACCCUCCCUCAUUGGAGCCGGGUAAGCCUUGUUGUAGUAGACAGUCGGAAAGUUAUUGUGCUAAGGCAUCAUAUGACCAACACACCAUAAUAACAACCGCUGACGAUGCAGAGAAGCGUAGAUUGAAAGGAUCUAACUUGUAGACACAUGAAUACAGAUGAACGGAGACUGAAUCCUGUGAGAUCCGCCAGAAAUAAACCUCCACGCGCCCUCCGGCGAUGCUAGAAACACCACCAGAACUGAGACUAUGCGAGGAGAAUCUUAUUCCAUCUUCAGAGUGUUGUCACCAUCUCGCCACUCUGAGCAUGGCACAAACCCUAACAAAAACAAAAAAAUCAUGAAAAAAAACGAAGCCCUCCACCGGCAAGGCCAGGAUCCACCGCGUCUCCAUGACCCUAAGACCAUAGGAGACGAGAUAAGCGAUGGUGGCACCAACGGGAGGCGGGAGAAACCCUAGCUAGAGGGUCCUCUUUCUUCCAUCAAUCCUCUCUUAAUUCGAUGGAUUUUUUUGGUCUCACACAUGAUAAAUCACCCCGUGAUAAGGAAACCAUCUUGCAGAAAUUUGAUUCGACGUUAUAAUGAUAAUUAAAGUUAAUAUUUAUCCUGCCAGAGGGCAACAUAAAAAUUGGACAUACUUUGUAAAGAAAAAAAUACAUGCUUAAUAGAUAAAAAUUAUAGUGAAAGUCCCUGGUUUGAAAAGAAAAGGCAUGUUUAGGGCACAUUUAGAUGUGCCUUAGUAUUGUACAUUUAAACGACUCAAUCAAACAUAGAGAAGAACAAAAAAUACCCACAUGAAUCUCCACCUAAAAUCAAUGACCUAUGACUUAUAUGUGCAAUGUAGGGCACAUCCAGAUGUGCUUUGCUUUAGCAAAACCAUAAAAAAAUCACAUUAAAAUGUAUAGUAGAAAAUAUUAAAAAGUUAGUGCACAGAUUACUUCUUGCUCCCCCACAAAUGUUCUUGGGUAACAGGCCCCCGAGCCACAAGGCCCAGCAAGAUCUGUGACUAACUUUUGCUCCCCCACAAAUGAGCUUGGGUGACAGGCUAACGCGACAAAGCCCAGCCACAGUGUUGCAAGAGCUGUCCUUUUAUUCCCGUGUAUGCGAACUAAAUAAGGCGAGGUGGGACUAAAAGUUGUGUCUGCCAACAAAUUCAAGGUACUAACGGGCUAAACAAACAACAGCUUCUCCAAACUGAAAGCCCAAGUAAAGAAUCUCGCGGCGUGACGGCCCAACGACGACGACGCGGUAAAACGGGGAGGCAAACGCCAAGAGAAGGCUUCCUCCCAAAGCCUUCCAAGCCAGACACACGGCCGCCGCAGCCGAGAUGGCCGCCGGAGAUGCCACCCACGCGCCGCCGGCCGCGGAGGCGCAGUCUCUGGUGGAUUCGUUCUGCGCAGUCACCUCGGCGACCCCCGACGAGGCGACCUUCUUCCUCGAGGGCCACAACUGGGCCCUCGAGGCCGCCGUCCGCUCCUUCUACGACAACACGGAAGUCGACGCCGAUGGCCCCGAUCCGGCACCCCAGCCCCCGCCAGCCGGUUCGCCUCCGUGCUCCUCACCACGCGCCACGGCACCAUCGACGACCUCCUUCACACCGGCGAGCUCGCGGUAAGCCUCGAUUGCCUGAUUUCUCCACUCUCUUAGGCUCGUUUCUUACUGUGAUGUUUGUGUUCAGUUAGGCAAAAUUGGGGAUCGCAAUCAACUUGACACUAUCUUAUCUCAGCUCAAUUUAGUCCGGACCAAUAACUUUUUAUGUUAAAAAAAUUAAGCAAGUUGGAACUGCGUAGAAUCGAUCAACCUGAUCUAUACUGGAUUUAAGUGCUGAAUUUUACUGGAUUCAGUUGCCUUCAUAGUUACACUUUGACUUCUCGGAAAAGAAAAAAAACACUUGCUCGGUGGUUUCUUGACAGGGUCCGUUGGCCUAGAUGAGAUUAUCUAGAAAUCCAAUAAUUGGGCUGGCUGACAUCUAUAAUUAAGUGAUCUCGAGUAGUAUCAUGUGAGAAACAGCAAAGCUAGUUAGGUGUGACGUGAUUCACUCUGCUGGGUGCUGGCGAUCAAUCUGUCGCUGGGCCUGAAAAUGGGACUUCAUUGCUAAUUGGGGCGCCAUCGUUGUAAAGGUACAAGUAGGGCCAUGAAUCAGUGAUAGUGCCUUAUUGAGAUCACAAACCAAAGGGGGUUGGAACAGUGUAUAUAAGGUGUAGAGCUCCUGUAGUUUUCAGAUUUUGUCAUAAUCGCAAACAGUGACCUCUAUACUGUAUUAACAAAUAUAACAUGAUUACAAUUCAAAAAAAAANNNNNNNNNNNNNNNNNNNNNNNNNNNNNNNNNNNNNNNNNNNNNNNNNNNNNNNNNNNNNNNNNNNNNNNNNNNNNNNNNNAAAAAAAAAUCUAAUAUGGUUAGAAGUUCUGGUUUCAGGGGCACUUCAGCUAUUUUGGAAGCACCACAGUAUUUAGGCCAACAUAAGCUGAUAUUCAGAAGAAUCACACUUUAUCUGAGAUUAUCUAGAAAUCCAAUAAUUGGGCUGGCUGACAUCUUUAAUUAAGUGAUCUGGAGUAGCAUCAUGUGAGAAACAGCAAAGCUAGCAAGGUGUGACGUGAUUCACUCUGCUGGCCACUGAUCUGUCGAUGGGCCUGAAAAUGGCACUUCAUUCAUUUCUGAAUGCUAAUUUGUGCGGCAUCUUUCAAAGGUGUGAGUAGGGCCAUGAAUCAGUGAUCUUAUUGGAAUCUCAAACCGAAGGGGGUUGGAACUGUGUAUAGGAGGUGCAGAGGUCCUUUAGUUUCAGAUCUUUUCAUAGUCGCAAACAGCGACCUAUGUGACAUUAACAAAUCUAGCAGAUCAUUACAAGUUCUAGUUUCAGUGUUACUUGCUUCGGCUAUUUGGCAGCACUACUGUAUAGGAUAAGAUGCUACUUAGGAGCAGCUAAACUCAAAACAGAUAUAUGUGGUAAACUUACGGCAUUUUGAACUGAAAAACGGUGAAAGAAUUAAGAAUUUUCGGACACAUGUUACUUACAUUGUCUCAGCUCUGCAUACUUGGCAACAUUUCCAAAUACUGGUCCUAAUGUAUCUUCAUGUUUAAUUCUGCAGCUAUGUUCAGUGGUGCUAAUGUCCGGGCUCAUCAUAAUCCUGAGCAGCGCCGCCAAGAUCACUCACCAGGUGCAGGCCCUCAUGGGCCAGACCACCAAGUGGCACGCCUGCUGCACCAUCGAGCCGGUCCCGGACGACGAGAUAGAUCCGGGAUCCAACCAGAACUCCAUGCUGGAGGAGUACCCCGAGCCCGAGGACGAGAGCGACUGUGAGUCCAGCGAGGAGACCGGCGACGAGGACAUGGUGGAGAACACCAAGUUCCUCCAGCCUCACAUGCACGUGAUCUCCUUCCAGAAGAGGCAGGCACUAGGUACGUAUGAUCAUCGACAGUUAUCAUACAUUUCGUCGAAUCUUGGGGCUGAUGGAAAACGCUGUUGCAGUGACCUUCCUGGAGAACAACAACGCCGGCAUCACCGUCUUCGGGUUCACGCUGGACCGGUCGUACCUCCACACGAUAUUCAUGCUCGAGUGGACGUUCUUCCUGUGGCUGCUGGGGAAAACAGUCGGCUUCUCGUGAAGACGAGGGACUGUAUGCACCAAGGUUCUAUUCUGUUCCAUGUUUUUUUGCUGUUGUGCUCCGUUUGAUCCUUGUGUGAAAAGAGAAGGAGNNNNNNNNNNNNNNNNNNNNNNNNNNNNNNNNNNNNNNNNNNNNNNNNNNNNNNNNNNNNNNNNNNNNNNNNNNNNNNNNNNNNNNNNNNNNNNNNNNNNNNNNNNNNNNNNNNNNNNNNNNNNNNNNNNNNNNNNNNNNNNNNNNNNNNNNNNNNNNNNNNNNNNNNNNNNNNNNNNNNNNNNNNNNNNNNNNNNNNNNNNNNNNNNNNNNNNNNNNNNNNNNNNNNNNNNNNNNNNNNNNNNNNNNNNNNNNNNNNNNNNNNNNNNNNNNNNNNNNNNNNNNNNNNNNNNNNNNNNNNNNNNNNNNNNNNNNNNNNNNNNNNNNNNNNNNNNNNNNNNNNNNNNNNNNNNNNNNNNNNNNNNNNNNNNNNNNNNNNNNNNNNNNNNNNNNNNNNNNNNNNNNNNNNNNNNNNNNNNNNNNNNNNNNNNNNNNNNNNNNNNNNNNNNNNNNNNNNNNNNNNNNNNNNNNNNNNNNNNNNNNNNNNNNNNNNNNNNNNNNNNNNNNNNNNNNNNNNNNNNNNNNNNNNNNNNNNNNNNNNNNNNNNNNNNNNNNNNNNNNNNNNNNNNNNNNNNNNNNNNNNNNNNNNNNNNNNNNNNNNNNNNNNNNNNNNNNNNNNNNNNNNNNNNNNNNNNNNNNNNNNNNNNNNNNNNNNNNNNNNNNNNNNNNNNNNNNNNNNNNNNNNNNNNNNNNNNNNNNNNNNNNNNNNNNNNNNNNNNNNNNNNNNNNNNNNNNNNNNNNNNNNNNNNNNNNNNNNNNNNNNNNNNNNNNNNNNNNNNNNNNNNNNNNNNNNNNNNNNNNNNNNNNNNNNNNNNNNNNNNNNNNNNNNNNNNNNNNNNNNNNNNNNNNNNNNNNNNNNNNNNNNNNNNNNNNNNNNNNNNNNNNNNNNNNNNNNNNNNNNNNNNNNNNNNNNNNNNNNNNNNNNNNNNNNNNNNNNNNNNNNNNNNNNNNNNNNNNNNNNNNNNNNNNNNNNNNNNNNNNNNNNNNNNNNNNNNNNNNNNNNNNNNNNNNNNNNNNNNNNNNNNNNNNNNNNNNNNNNNNNNNNNNNNNNNNNNNNNNNNNNNNNNNNNNNNNNNNNNNNNNNNNNNNNNNNNNNNNNNNNNNNNNNNNNNNNNNNNNNNNNNNNNNNNNNNNNNNNNNNNNNNNNNNNNNNNNNNNNNNNNNNNNNNNNNNNNNNNNNNNNNNNNNNNNNNNNNNNNNNNNNNNNNNNNNNNNNNNNNNNNNNNNNNNNNNNNNNNNNNNNNNNNNNNNNNNNNNNNNNNNNNNNNNNNNNNNNNNNNNNNNNNNNNNNNNNNNNNNNNNNNNNNNNNNNNNNNNNNNNNNNNNNNNNNNNNNNNNNNNNNNNNNNNNNNNNNNNNNNNNNNNNNNNNNNNNNNNNNNNNNNNNNNNNNNNNNNNNNNNNNNNNNNNNNNNNNNNNNNNNNNNNNNNNNNNNNNNNNNNNNNNNNNNNNNNNNNNNNNNNNNNNNNNNNNNNNNNNNNNNNNNNNNNNNNNNNNNNNNNNNNNNNNNNNNNNNNNNNNNNNNNNNNNNNNNNNNNNNNNNNNNNNNNNNNNNNNNNNNNNNNNNNNNNNNNNNNNNNNNNNNNNNNNNNNNNNNNNNNNNNNNNNNNNNNNNNNNNNNNNNNNNNNNNNNNNNNNNNNNNNNNNNNNNNNNNNNNNNNNNNNNNNNNNNNNNNNNNNNNNNNNNNNNNNNNNNNNNNNNNNNNGGGAGCUCUGGGGAUGACGCAGAGCGUCGCGCCAGAUCCGACGCCGCACGCAAGCGGGGCGCACGGAGGUGGCUCAACCGCGGUAGCCGGUCGCCGCCAACGUUUGAACGCCGCGAGCUGGUCGAGUUCGAGCGCAAGCUUGCCCGCCGCCACCACGCCUCAUUCGGCUCCUCUGCCGCAGAGAGCUUGUCCGCGGGCGCCUCGAGCUCGUGGCUCAGUCCGAUGAAGAGAGAGCCGGAGGAACUCGGGCCGCUCGCCGUCAAGCUCGAGGCCGAGGCGCCGCCGCGUCGAGGAGUGAUUGACCCCAAGGACUACCUCCCCCCGGGGCAGGAGGAGCACCUAGAGCGUGUCGUCAUGGAGCGGUCGGCGAGGGAGCGGGAGGAGGGCGAAGUGCGCCGCCGACGCGAGCUCGAGUACGAGCAGAUGUUCCCCAGACGGGUGUUGCGGCGUUGCAGGUCCGCCUCCAUGAAGGUGGAGCAAGCCAAGUUCUUCAUCGACCUCGACCCCUCCGACGAGGACUUAGCUCCUCCGGCUCCUUCGCCGUGCUGUCGCUGCCGCGAGCUCAUCGAUUUUUGGUAUCUAGGCUCGGGCCCACAGAUUCCCCCACUAGUAUGAUCAAUGUAGAUGAACUAAUGUAUGAUCAAUGUCGUUGCAAGUUUCUCUGGCGAAUGCUUUUCUUAAAAUUUUACAGUUUCAUAUACGAGGUCUGAUCUGCAGCGCACGAAUUCAAUCCGCAAAUCUCAUCUGUCUGUAAACACAAUUUGCGGGUCGGCAUUAUACGAGGUCUGCUAGAGAUGCUCUUAGAUGGGUGCUGUAGAGAUAGCCUCGUGCAUCGCAGGUUGGCAUUGCAGGUUUAUAAUCUCGGGUUGUAACUUGUAAGCCAGCAUCAGUUGUAGAGCAGGUGUGUCAAAAGAAAAACUCUUUCCUUUAUUUAUUUUUGAACCGAAAACCGUAGAACAAUUGUUCUAUGGUAUAUUUUCAUUAAAAUAAAAUAAAAGUAUGUUACGAGGGGAUCAAUACAAGGAAAACUUAGUCAAUUCCUGCUCUUGGAAGCAUUAGAGCUGAUUUAAAACAUGUUAUCUAGCCACUGUUUGAAGCUUUGAAAGUGCUUCGCCUUUAGCUUGUGCUGUAGGAGCUUCUGAUCUUGCUUGAGGUGAAAACGCCAAAAAUGUACCGUAUGUGGCAGACCUCUGAAAACUUUCCCAUUUCUCUUAUUCCAAGUAUUCCAGCAUCCAAGAAUAACUAUUUCUGUGGCAAAUUGUUGUGGAAGUUUUUCUAUCGCCAGUAGUGUUUCCUCGUAUAUUGAAGUACCUCUUGCCUUAUGGGAAUUAGAGUGUUCCAACAAUCCUGUGCAAAAUUACAGUCCCAAAGCAGGUGAAGGGCUGUCUCUUCAGCAUUCUGAUUGUAGUUUCGGCAGUGAGGAUUGUUCAGUUGCAUGCCUUUUCUCUGUAGGAGUGAUCUGGUGUUGAUUCUACUGUGGGCUACUAACCAGAAAAAUAUCUUAUGUCUGAGUCUGCUAGAGCUCUUUCAAGUCAACUUGAAGAUAGGGUGUACCUCCUCAUUACCCAUUAGGUGUUUGUACAUGUGCAUUGAAGAGUAUUUAUUUUGAAGGCCAUUGCAAGUCCAUUUAUCCUUCCCAUAUCUGUCCGGAGAGGGGAUAAUAUCCCCCAAGUUGAAUGAAUUGAUUGUAGGCUGUGUUGGAUAAAGGAGUGUGGAACUGUUCAAUCCAGCUUCCAGAGUCACAAAAUUCUUGGACAGACAAGGAGCCCCUAAUAGCAAAAGAGUGCAGCUCUCGAAAAUUUUGUUCCAAUAUAUCUCCUUCCUCUUUCCUUUAUUUUGGUUCUACCGGCCUUCUGUUAUCCUCAAGAAAAUGAUUUGUACUCCAUAUAUCGAUAUGAAUCCUACGGGAUAUGAUGGUAUUUCAUAUUCAGUACAAAUAUAAUAGUCAAAGCAUUGCAAUGCAGGUGAGGAUGGUACAUCUAAUAGUGCUUUUUUUUGUGUGUUAGUAUUGCCUGUGUGCAUCCUAACUAUGCAGAGGCCAGAUAUGUACUCAUGCUUGUAUCCACUUGGUGCUUCAUUUUUAAGUUAUAAAAUUCAUCCGUUGUUGAAAAAAGAAUCAAAGCUCACUCAAAGUGAUGCUACGGAUUGGCCCACUUUCCAGUAUCUGCAUAUGGCUCUUUCUGUAUAAUGUGUCCUCGUGGCGAUUGAUGGGCGCAUCCAUAUCCCGUUUGAGAGCUCCUAUGCAACGCUUUAGGCGCCAAAAAGGAUAGCUGGCGCUUGCUAGCUUUCUUCACAGGCCGCAGCCCAAUAAGGCCACCUCCCUCUCGCGCCUGCUCGGUUUAUGAAGUUUGCUGGUUUUCUUUCGUUAUUACUUAUAGUACGACCUUUCCCUAAAAGAAACUUACAGUAUGAUCUAGUGUACUACUUCGUGUGUCCCGACUGCGACUAGCAAGUCGGGACGGAGGGAGAACUUGCCUCAAAAAGAAAAUAAAAACUACAGUCCUACAUGGCCAGCGGUUUUUAUCUACUAUACCACAUGGCCAGCGGUUUUCAAAAUAUAUGAAUAAAACUUCAUGAAUCGAGAAAAAGUUUAUGGUUUGAAAAAAGUCAUUUUUAGUUUUUUUUUAAUUUAAAAGAAAUCAUGAAAUUUUCAUAUAUAAUCAUGAAUUUCAAAUAAGUUCAAGACAUUUAAAAAAGUUCGUAAAUACUGAAAAAUUCAUAGAUUUUGAAACAAUGUAAGCGGAUUCGGAAGAAGUUCACUAAUUUAAUAAAGUGCUAGAUUUGAAAAUAGUUCAUGAAUUUCGGAAAAGAAGUUCAUGAAUUCAAAAAAAAUCAUGAGUCUGAAAAAACUUCACCAAUUUUUAAUAAGUGUGUGGACUUCAAAAUGUUAACAAUAUUUGAAAAUUAGUUCACGAAUUUUACAAGAUUUCAAUUUUUUUUUGGAAAACUUCAUGAAAAUUGGAAAAUUUUCAUAUUUUUUAGAUAAAAUCACAAAUUUGAAAAAACUUCACGGGUUUUUAGAAACUUCAUAAAAACUAAAAUGAAUUUGUGAAUUUGAAAAACAUUCACGCAUUUGACAAAAGUUCACGAAUUUCAAAAAGCUCACGAAUUGAAGAAAUAGUUUAUGAUUGAAAAAAAUUCACAGAUUUUGAAAAUGGGAAAUAAAGAAAAAGGAAAAAAGGAAGAAAAACUGGCCGAAACAAAACCGAAAAACAUGUGUCUUCUAGGCGCUAAACAUGAAACAAAAGAAGUAUUAUUAGGCACAAUAGGUGAGUCGUCUGUGUCAGUUACUAUGUUCGGAAGGAAACCUUGAGGUUCCUCCUUUGAAUCUCACUACCUGCAACAUUUUUGUAGAUUCAAUAAAAUGGGCCAAGCCCAGGAUGCAAGGGGGUGUGCAUCGGUUUGUUGAGUUGCCUUUAGGCGUCGGGGUAUCAUUUGUAGGGAGACCGUGAGAUGGGCCGGCCUACGCGCGUGCGAUGCCAGAACCCCCCUUGUCUUUUCUUUUUCUUUUUAACUCUUAUACUCCCAAAUAUUCUAAAAAUAUAUUUAAAAAAUAAUGCGUCAAAAAUUGAAAAAUGUAAAUCAAACAUGGGAAAUGAUUAGCUUCAACCGACUGAUCUUUCAUUGCCCAUCCGCUUCCUCACGCUUGCGACGCGUGUCCUUAUGGGACCAGUUCGUUCUUAUCCUCACGCCAAUGUCCACGCCUCUCAUUCCUGAAGCUUCUCGGUGGGAUCGUUUUCUUCUCCUUUCGUCCACCCCAUCUGCUUCCAUCUCCCCCCACUCUCUCUCCUUGAGCCGGCGCUGCUCAUCCAUCUCUCUCAUCUCCCCUCUCCUCCAUACUAUGCUGCUGCAUCGGGGACAAGCCUCAUGCAUGGGACAUACCUUGUUGACCAGAUCCAUUGCAUGCCUACUUUAAGGCUCCGACGUUGUAGGCUAGGCCCCAGAUGUUACAUGCCUGUGUUACUCACCGUCGAGAUUUGGAUGAAAUUUACUACAUGAUACUACAAGUGCUUCAGGCGGAAUUUUCGCAACAAAGGUCUUGUUGCAGGAAUAUGGAGAAGAGGUCGCAGAUGAUGUAAUUUUUGGAACAAGGAAUACAUAGAAGUUUUUUUUUUGCAACAAUGGUCUUGUUGCAAGAGUGCAUAGAUGAGGCCGGAGAUGUUGUUGCAAUUUUUGCAACACGGAUCUUGUUACAGGAAUCUAGGAAAGAUGUCGGAGAUAUUCUUGCAAUUUUUGCAACAAUGAUCUUGUUGCAGGAAUACGACAAAGGGAACAAGGAUUACUUGCCCCCGCGUGCCGGCGGCAGCUAAUUUUUUGUGGUGGUUGGGGGCGACAUCAUUCUGGGCGCAACUCUGUCGGGGACGGUGGACAAGGGAGUCUGUUUCUGAAACAGAACCGUUGUCGCGGAAAUUAAAGAGGGAUCAGCCGGCGCGAGGUGGUUACAUCGAACGGCUGUCAGCGCUCUGAUCCAACGGUUGUCCAACCGGCGGAUCAUUAUAACAUGUCCGCCGGCCGACGCCUAGCGUCACCCAUCAAACAUUGGAAAUAUGUUAAAUACGUGUAGAAACAAAUGUUUAUCAUGUAUACAAAUAUUAUACAAUGUGUAUUUAAAAAGUUGAUAUGUAUUAAAAAAUGUCAAACGAGCAUUUAAAAAUGUUAAUAAAGAAUUUCAAAGACGUUAAUCAAGCAUUUAAAUAAUUCUAAAUGCAUAUAGAAAAAAUGUUUGUCAUGUAAUGAAAAUGUAUUAAAAAUAGUGUUUAUGAGAAAAUACUUUAUCAUGCACUAAAAAUGUUAAAUGUGUAUAGAAAAUGUUUCUGAUGUACAAUAAAAAUGUUCAACCGACAUGAAAUAAAAGUAGACAUAAAAAACCAUAUAUUUUAAAAAUGCUAACUAUGUCUUUACAAAAUGUUAAACAUGUAUAUGAAAAUGUACACUAUGUGUGAAAAACAUAUUUAUUGCCAAUAAAAAUGUUCACUAGUUACUUGAAAAAUGUUUACCUUGUAUUCAAAAAGUAAAACUUAUAUUUUCAAAACAUACAUCUUGUACUGAAAAAUGUUCAACGUGUAUCAACUUAAUGUUUCACGUCUACACUGAAAAUUACAUUGUGUACUGGAAAAAAGUAGAUAUGUGUUGAACAAAGAAAUAACCAAUAAAAAAUUGAGGAAGAAACAAGGAAAACUAAUGAAAACCGAAAAAUAAGCAAAAGAACAGAAGAAAACCACUGAAAUAGAAUGCAAACAUCAAAACCAAAGAAAAAACCAAGAAAAAAUGCGAAGGGAAAAACCAAAGGAGAAUAUAUAAUAAAAGGAAGUCCAUGAAAACAGAUAAAAAAACAGAGUAAACUGGAAGAAAUUAUAGAAAAGGAAAGAAACAAAAACAGUUAAACCCAAAAAAAAAGAACAUAGAAAACAGCGAGAAAAUAAACAAAACAGAAAAAUACAACCAUAGAAAACCUAACCAAAAACCAGUACAACGAUCUCCCAAGCGAGCGAGGAAAAGAAACGAGCAAACCGCUAAAUGAGUCGGCCCAGAAACAAAGCGCGAGGGAGUUUAUUCAAGCGAGCAGAGCAUAUAUCUCGCUAUAACCAAGAUAUAGCUCUUGCGGCAAUUGAUGCCCUUUUUUCUUCGCUAGUGUGACCCCCACUGAAUUAUUAUAUUUUUUGAAAUCAUCCAUGCAAUGUCCCAAAUAUUGAUCCAUAUGCUUACGUUUAAUUCUAUUGUUGCUCUCUUUAAAUUUACUUCGACUUGGCAACUGUUGGGUAUUUUUGUUACUAUGAUACUGCUUUGCCACAUACAUCACUUCUUUCAAACAAGCAUUUGUUUCAGAUGUGGUUGAAUUGACAACAUAAUUGCCAACUGCUAAAGUUUUUAAAUACUCUUUGGCUCUUUUGUGUCGAGUCAAUAAAUUUGUGUUGUGACCCCCUACGUUUGUGGAUCAUCAUCUAUACAUUAUUGCAUCAAUAACAAGUGAGCCACUCAUGUUUUGUUGGAAUUCCAAAAUGCAUAGUUUUGUAUUUAUUGACAAAAUGAUUGUGAAACUACUUAAAAUGGGCUAUUUCUUUAUAUUUUUACCCAGCUUAGUUUUUAAAGAAAUACUUGUACUUAUAGGAUGGUGAGCAUUUCCAAAAUCUGGAGUUGCCCUAGCAUCUUGAGCAAUAUUCCCUCCUUUCCUUUAUGUAACGUGUAUUAUUUUCAGGACGGUGACCAAGGCACAUAAUUAUAGACUAGUUAGGACGAAAUUAUCCUUGACAAAUUUGUUGAUUAGUGCCAAGUAAAUCAGUUAGUACAGGAAAGUAACAGAUACAUGCAAUCGAUAAAAAGAUACUUUUCUUCUUCUGUUACAAGGGGAGAUAUAGGCAAUCAGAAAGUAGAUACUUACCUUUUCUGGAGGACUAACAAGGGAAUUAUAAGGAAAUAUAAGAAAUGCACCUUACAUUUUGAAAUUUUAUCAAAAAACAAAUACACCUUAUAUAAAUGAACGGAGGGACUAGGUAACAAGGCAAAAUGUGUUGUAACCCAUCCAGUGUAAACUGAAUUGCAUGACACACAUCUCGGACCAAAGUUCCUUUCUGUGUGCCACAUCGAAGCAUCACAAGUCAAAUCAAUAUAGUGUAUUACUCCAAGUAAAAAAAUGAAUUACUCACUAGGUUCUCCAGAUUAAAGCUCCAUGCUAAAUCAAGCAAGCGAAAAGUGUGGAACCUAAGAACUUAAAGCGUGGAGGUCAAACAAGAUGCCUAGAUUGCUCGUCCUCUCUUAAUUCCUUUUUUUGCGUGAAAUCUUCUGAUCUAUUCAUAAAUUGAAAAGGUAGUAUAAAGAACACCGGAAGUAAAAAAUACAUCCAGGUCUGUAGAUCGCCUAGCGACGACCACAAUCACUGGAGCGAGCCGCGCCGCCGUCUUCACCCUCCCUCAUUGGAGCCGGGUAAGCCUUGUUGUAGUAGACAGUCGGAAAGUUGUUGUGCUAAGGCAUCAUAUGACCAACACACCAUAAUAACAACCGCUGACGAUGCAGAGAAACGUAGAUUGAAAGGAUCUAACUUGUAGACACAUGAAUACAGAUGAACGGAGACUGAAUCCUGUGAGAUCCGCCAGAAAUAAACCUCCACGCGCCCUCCGGCGAUGCUAGAAACACCACCAGAACUGGGACUAUGCGAGGAGAAUCUUAUUCCAUCUUCAGAGUGUUGUCACCAUCUCGCCACUCUGAGCACGGCACAAACCCUAACAAAAACAAAAAAAUCAUGAAAAAAAACGAAGCCCUCCACCGGCAAGGCCAGGAUCCACCGCGUCUCCAUGACCCUAAGACCAUAGGAGACGAGAUAAGCGAUGGUGGCACCAACGGGAGGCGGGAGAAACCCUAGCUAGAGGGUCCUCUUUCUUCCAUCAAUCCUCUCUUAAUUCGAUGGAUUUUUUUGGUCUCACACAUGAUAAAUCACCCCGUGAUAAGGAAACCAUCUUGCAGAAAUUUGAUUCGACGUUAUAAUGAUAAUUAAAGUUAAUAUUUAUCCUGCCAGAGGGCAACAUAAAAAUUGGACAUACUUUGUAAAGAAAAAAAAUACAUGCUUAAUAGAUAAAAAUUAUAGUGAAAGUCCCUGGUUUGAAAAGAAAAGGCAUGUUUAGGGCACAUUUAGAUGUGCCUUAGUAUUGUACAUUUAAACGACUCAAUCAAACAUAAAGAAGAACAAAAAAUACCCAGAUGAAUCUCCACCUAAAAUCAAUGACCUAUGACUUAUAUGUGCAAUGUAGGGCACAUCCAGAUGUGCUUUGCUUUAGCAAAACCAUAAAAAAAUCACAUUAAAAUGUAUAGUAGAAAAUAUUAAAAAGUUAGUGCACAGAUUACUUCUUGCUCCCCCACAAAUGUUCUUGGGUAACAGGCCCCCGAGCCACAAGGCCCAGCAAGAUCUGUGACUAACUUUUGCUCCCCCACAAAUGAGCUUGGGUGACAGGCUAACGCGACAAAGCCCAGCCACAGUGUUGCAAGAGCUGUCCUUUUAUUCCCGUGUAUGCGAACUAAAUAAGGCGAGGUGGGACUAAAAGUUGUGUCUGCCAACAAAUUCAAGGUACUAACGGGCUAAACAAACAACAGCUUCUCCAAACUGAAAGCCCAAGUAAAGAAUCUCGCGGCGUGACGGCCCAACGACGACGACGCGGUAAAACGGGGAGGCAAACGCCAAGAGAAGGCUUCCUCCCAAAGCCUUCCAAGCCAGACACACGGCCGCCGCAGCCGAGAUGGCCGCCGGAGAUGCCACCCACGCGCCGCCGGCCGCGGAGGCGCAGUCUCUGGUGGAUUCGUUCUGCGCAGUCACCUCGGCGACCCCCGACGAGGCGACCUUCUUCCUCGAGGGCCACAACUGGGCCCUCGAGGCCGCCGUCCGCUCCUUCUACGACAACACGGAAGUCGACGCCGAUGGCCCCGAUCCGGCACCCCAGCCCCCGCCAGCCGGUUCGCCUCCGUGCUCCUCACCACGCGCCACGGCACCAUCGACGACCUCCUUCACACCGGCGAGCUCGCGGUAAGCCUCGAUUGCCUGAUUUCUCCACUCUCUUAGGCUCGUUUCUUACUGUGAUGUUUGUGUUCAGUUAGGCAAAAUUGGGGAUCGCAAUCAACUUGACACUAUCUUAUCUCAGCUCAAUUUAGUCCGGACCAAUAACUUUUUAUGUUAAAAAAAUUAAGCAAGUUGGAACUGCGUAGAAUCGAUCAACCUGAUCUAUACUGGAUUUAAGUGCUGAAUUUUACUGGAUUCAGUUGCCUUCAUAGUUACACUUUGACUUCUCGGAAAAGAAAAAAAACACUUGCUCGGUGGUUUCUUGACAGGGUCCGUUGGCCUAGAUGAGAUUAUCUAGAAAUCCAAUAAUUGGGCUGGCUGACAUCUAUAAUUAAGUGAUCUCGAGUAGUAUCAUGUGAGAAACAGCAAAGCUAGUUAGGUGUGACGUGAUUCACUCUGCUGGGUGCUGGCGAUCAAUCUGUCGCUGGGCCUGAAAAUGGGACUUCAUUGCUAAUUGGGGCGCCAUCGUUGUAAAGGUACAAGUAGGGCCAUGAAUCAGUGAUAGUGCCUUAUUGAGAUCACAAACCAAAGGGGGUUGGAACAGUGUAUAUAAGGUGUAGAGCUCCUGUAGUUUUCAGAUUUUGUCAUAAUCGCAAACAGUGACCUCUAUACUGUAUUAACAAAUAUAACAUGAUUACAAUUCAAAAAAAAANNNNNNNNNNNNNNNNNNNNNNNNNNNNNNNNNNNNNNNNNNNNNNNNNNNNNNNNNNNNNNNNNNNNNNNNNNNNNNNNNNNNNNNNNNNNNNNNNNNNNNNNNNNNNNNNNNNNNNNNNNNNNNNNNNNNNNNNNNNNNNNNNNNNNNNNNNNNNNNNNNNNNNNNNNNNNNNNNNNNNNNNNNNNNNNNNNNNNNNNNNNNNNNNNNNNNNNNNNNNNNNNNNNNNNNNNNNNNNNNNNNNNNNNNNNNNNNNNNNNNNNNNNNNNNNNNNNNNNNNNNNNNNNNNNNNNNNNNNNNNNNNNNNNNNNNNNNNNNNNNNNNNNNNNNNNNNNNNNNNNNNNNNNNNNNNNNNNNNNNNNNNNNAAAAAAAAAUCUAAUAUGGUUAGAAGUUCUGGUUUCAGGGGCACUUCAGCUAUUUUGGAAGCACCACAGUAUUUAGGCCAACAUAAGCUGAUAUUCAGAAGAAUCACACUUUAUCUGAGAUUAUCUAGAAAUCCAAUAAUUGGGCUGGCUGACAUCUUUAAUUAAGUGAUCUGGAGUAGCAUCAUGUGAGAAACAGCAAAGCUAGCAAGGUGUGACGUGAUUCACUCUGCUGGCCACUGAUCUGUCGAUGGGCCUGAAAAUGGCACUUCAUUCAUUUCUGAAUGCUAAUUUGUGCGGCAUCUUUCAAAGGUGUGAGUAGGGCCAUGAAUCAGUGAUCUUAUUGGAAUCUCAAACCGAAGGGGGUUGGAACUGUGUAUAGGAGGUGCAGAGGUCCUUUAGUUUCAGAUCUUUUCAUAGUCGCAAACAGCGACCUAUGUGACAUUAACAAAUCUAGCAGAUCAUUACAAGUUCUAGUUUCAGUGUUACUUGCUUCGGCUAUUUGGCAGCACUACUGUAUAGGAUAAGAUGCUACUUAGGAGCAGCUAAACUCAAAACAGAUAUAUGUGGUAAACUUACGGCAUUUUGAACUGAAAAACGGUGAAAGAAUUAAGAAUUUUCGGACACAUGUUACUUACAUUGUCUCAGCUCUGCAUACUUGGCAACAUUUCCAAAUACUGGUCCUAAUGUAUCUUCAUGUUUAAUUCUGCAGCUAUGUUCAGUGGUGCUAAUGUCCGGGCUCAUCAUAAUCCUGAGCAGCGCCGCCAAGAUCACUCACCAGGUGCAGGCCCUCAUGGGCCAGACCACCAAGUGGCACGCCUGCUGCACCAUCGAGCCGGUCCCGGACGACGAGAUAGAUCCGGGAUCCAACCAGAACUCCAUGCUGGAGGAGUACCCCGAGCCCGAGGACGAGAGCGACUGUGAGUCCAGCGAGGAGACCGGCGACGAGGACAUGGUGGAGAACACCAAGUUCCUCCAGCCUCACAUGCACGUGAUCUCCUUCCAGAAGAGGCAGGCACUAGGUACGUAUGAUCAUCGACAGUUAUCAUACAUUUCGUCGAAUCUUGGGGCUGAUGGAAAACGCUGUUGCAGUGACCUUCCUGGAGAACAACAACGCCGGCAUCACCGUCUUCGGGUUCACGCUGGACCGGUCGUACCUCCACACGAUAUUCAUGCUCGAGUGGACGUUCUUCCUGUGGCUGCUGGGGAAAACAGUCGGCUUCUCGUGAAGACGAGGGACUGUAUGCACCAAGGUUCUAUUCUGUUCCAUGUUUUUUUGCUGUUGUGCUCCGUUUGAUCCUUGUGUGAAAAGAGAAGGAGUAGGGUUUUUUGUGUGCGCGUGCGGGUGGCACGUGAGUGGUGUGCACUUGUUCGUGUGUGUAUGCUAGCAGCGAUUUGGUAUGCUGAUGAUCCUGUAAAUUAUCAUGGGUUGAUUGCAUGUGGAUGUAAGGUCUAUGUACAGUGAUUAGAGCAUCUCUAUCUAGCAGACCUCGUAAAAGGGCCGAACCCGUAUAAUUCCGGCGAGUAUACGAGUUCUGCUCGUUUUUCUAGCCAGAGUAGACACCGUAUCCGUGGCCUGGCCCGUAUGGCCCGCAAAAAGUCUCUCCCCACCGCUAUAUAUGCGGUUUCACUGCUCGGAUACGGGUCAAACCUCGUAAAAGGGCCGAACCCGUAUAAUUCCGGCGAGUAUACGGGUUCGGCCUGUUUUUCUGGCCAGAGUAGACACCGUAUCCGCAGCCCGGCCCUAAAAAAUUUACUGUGGCCCGCAAAAAGUCUCUCCCCACCACUAUAUAUGCCCCAUUGCUAUAUAUGUGGUUUCACCGCUCGGAUACAGGUCAAACCCUAUCCGCCUUCGCCGCCGCUCCGCUGCGAUUCCCCUCCUCCGCGCAAUUUCUCGCCGCAGGCGAGCCUGAAAAAGCCAUGGAUUGCUACGGGAGCUCUGGGGAUGACGCAGAGCGUCGCGCCAGAUCCGACGCCGCACGCAAGCGGGGUGUACGGAGGUGGCUCAACCGCGGUAGCCGGUCGCCGCCAACGUUUGAACGCCGCGAGCUGGUCGAGUUCGAGCGCAAGCUUGCCCGCCGCCACCACGCCUCAUUCGGCUCCUCUGCCGUAGAGAGCUUGUCCGCGGGCGCCUCGAGCUCGUGGCUCAGUCCGAUGAAGAGAGAGCCGGAGGAACUCGGGCCGCUCGCCGUCAAGCUCGAGGCCGAGGCGCCGCCGCGUCGAGGAGUGAUUGACCCCAAGGACUACCUCCCCCCGGGGCAGGAGGAGCACCUAGAGCGUGUCGUCAUGGAGCGGUCGGCGAGGGAGCGGGAGGAGGGCGAAGUGCGCCGCCGACGCGAGCUCGAGUACGAGCAGAUGUUCCCCAGACGGGUGUUGCGGCGUUGCAGGUCCGCCUCCAUGAAGGUGGAGCAAGCCAAGUUCUUCAUCGACCUCGACCCCUCCGACGAGGACUUAGCUCCUCCGGCUCCUCCGCCGUGCCGUCGCUGCCGCGAGCUCAUCGAUUUUUGGUAUCUCGGCUCGGGCCCACAGAUUCCCCCACUAGUAUGAUCAAUGUAGAUGAACUAAUGUAUGAUUAAUGUCGUUGCAAGUUUCUCUGGCGAAUGCUUUUCUUAAAAUUUUACAGUUUCAUAUACGAGGUCUGAUCUGCAGCGCACGAAUUCAAUCCGCAAAUCUCAUCUGUCUGUAAACACAAUUUGCGGGUCGGCAUUAUACGAGGUCUGCUAGAGAUGCUCUUAGAUGGGUGCUGUAGAGAUAGCCUCGUGCAUCGCAGGUUGGCAUUGCAGGUUUAUAAUCUCGGGUUGUAACUUGUAAGCCAGCAUCAGUUG
This 88247-nucleotide long non-coding RNA is filed under the name Triticum aestivum (bread wheat). Its description in RNAcentral is "long non-coding RNA (TAES_LNC015063)". Lineage: Eukaryota; Viridiplantae; Streptophyta; Magnoliopsida; Poales; Poaceae. The record is from RNAcentral.